CACAAUUUCCUCUCAGGCGAGUUGCUUCGUGGAAUCCAAUCGUGGAAGAAGCUCAGCGAGCUGAACCUCGCUGACAACGAGUUCACCGGCCGCAUACCUCCGGAGCUCGGCGACCUCCCAGUGCUCAACUACCUUGACCUCUCCGGCAAUCUGCUCACCGGCGACAUACCCCUGCAGUUGCAGAACUUAAAGCUCAACGAGUUCAACCUAUCAAACAAUGAUCUCUCGGGCCCUCUUCCACCUCUUUUCGCACGCGACAUCUACCGGGACAGCUUCCUGGGCAAUCCGGGAUUGUGCCACGAGUUCUCGGGCUUGUGCCCUGUUUCACGUGGCACUGGGGAUCGUCACGGCUUCAUCUGGUUGCUCCGCUCGAUCUUCAUGCUGGCUACGUUGGUCUUUGUCGUCGGAGUUGCGUGGUUCUUUUGGCGGUAUCGGAAGUACAAGAAGGCGCAGCUGACACCAGACAAGUCCAAAUGGACGUUGACCUCGUUCCACAAGCUCGGAUUCAGCGAGUACGAGAUCCUGGAUUGCCUCGACGAAGACAAUGUGAUUGGGAGUGGCGGCUCAGGGAAGGUCUACAAGGCGGUGCUAAGCAACGGAGAGAUGGUCGCGGUGAAGAAGCUAUGGGGCACAUCGAAGAAGGACGUCGAGAACGCGAACCAGUCCGUGGACGAUGGUUUCGCGGCGGAGGUCGCGACGUUGGGGAAGAUUAGGCACAAGAACAUCGUGAAGCUGUGGUGUUGCUGCACUCACAAGGACUGCAAGCUUCUGGUGUACGAGUUCAUGCCGAAUGGGAGCUUGGGAGACCUGUUGCACAGCAACAAAGGAGCACUCUUGGACUGGCCGACGAGGUACAAGAUUGCGCUCGAUGCGGCGGAGGGGCUCAGCUAUCUACACCACGACUGCAUGCCGCCGAUCGUGCACAGAGAUGUGAAGUCCAACAACAUCCUGUUGGAUGGUGAAUACGGUGCCAAAGUAGCAGACUUCGGGGUGGCGAAAACUGUGGAGAUGAUGGGGAAGGGACCCAAAUCCAUGUCCGUGAUCGCUGGUUCAUGCGGAUACAUCGCGCCAGGUUUCCCCUCUUCUCAUUCUUCUCCUCAUCAGCGAUGACCUUUGUAGUCGAUGCAUUCGAUUCACUUCCAUGCUGCAGAGUACGCGUACACUCUGCGGGUGAACGAGAAGAGUGACAUCUACAGCUUCGGCGUGGUGAUCCUGGAGCUUGUGACGGGGAAGUUCCCGGUCGAUCCAGAGUUCGGGGAGAAGGACUUGGUGAAGUGGGUGACCUGCGCAAUGGAGCAGAAUGGGGUGGACCAUGUGAUUGACCCAAAGCUUGAUGUGCGCCAGCACAGGGAGGAGAUCAACAAGGCGCUCAGCAUCGGGCUUCUCUGCACCAGCUCUCUUCCGAUCAACCGCCCGUCGAUGAGGAGGGUGGUGAAGAUGCUCCAAGAAGUGAGAGCAGAGAACAAGACCCAGAUCGAGACAAAGGAUGGGAAGCUCUCUCCUUACUACCGUGAAGAAGUGGAUCCCAACUCUUCGGUGUAGGAGCUUCAGCAUCUGGUGAGACGAGAGUGUGACUGUAAAUGGAUGGAUCGUCAGUGUGGUCUUAUCUACAACAUGAAUGAAGUGUCAACCAACUGAAUGCUACCGUAUGUUCUACCCUGACACUAAACAUUGCAAGGGUUAUGGCUCGGUGUUCUUCGUCUUCUUCCACCAGAGAGCUGCAGAGAUGUGAGGACGGGCCUACAUAGCGACUUUGAUCUCGUGAGUUAUACUGCAUCUGAUGCCCACAAAUUAUGCAUCAGAUCCAAUGCGACAUCAAACUUGUGCUUUUGAUGCCUGCAUCCUUGCGCAAACAAACAAGGACGGAUAUGAUAGUUGGCAGGAGAAUCCACAAGAUGAUGUCGAUCAUAAGGUUCUUAAGAUCCAAGAAAGUCGUAGCUUGUUGACAGCCAGGUGUGAUAGAGGAGAUAAGAACGAUGGUUGAUGCCCCAAAGCAAAGUAGAAGCGACGCGACGGCAUUGACAUGUUGUGUACAUCGUUGACAUUGACUCGAUCUCUGCCUCCCAAUAACAUAGCUUGCUUGUGCCGGUCGACCGUUUUCCCUUGGUAAUCACUGGAACUCCGAAUUACGGAAAUACUUCUAUCAGCCAGCUUUCACGUUAUCACCCCCCAAAGCACCGAGCUUCUCUAAUGGCGACUUUAGGGUUUGUGCUGAGAAUCCAUAUUCUUCUUGUCUGCUCAUUCAGAAAGUCAACGACUUAACCAAAAAAAAAAAACUCACGAUACUUCCCAUGUGAUGAUUCUUAGAUUAUUAUACAUCUUGCAUGAAUCGUGGAGGUAAGAAUUGUUAGACAACAGAUAUGCUGUGACCGGUGAGUCAGCACGGCUAGGUCCACGGGUCGAUGUCGGGAGCUUUCUGCAGGGUGAUUCGGAUGAUGAGGUAUCCGAGCUCUCGAGAAGGAUUGUUGGUUGGCGAUGGUCGAGAUCAGGGUUGAUCGGUGACUCCUUGGUGUCGGGCGAAUCAUGCUUCCGUGCCGAGUCCCUCACCGUCGAUGAGUGGUCGUCCUCCUGCGAAAAUGGUCUCCAUCGGUUGGUACCCGGCCGUGGCCCCUCCGACGAGCAAGUUAGUAACGAUAGGGAUUACUUUUUUCCUUCUUUUUUUCUUCUUUCCUUCUGGUCGGAGGCUGGCAAGGGGUUUUAUAUUGUGACGAGAGGGCUGAGGGUGCAUUGAUUUGGCGUCGUCACUGGCCCCGGAGGGAUGAGACGACCUUUCUGACUGGCCGUCACAUCGGGGCGUGCAGUGCGGUGUCAGACAGUAUUGCCCUGAACUCUCAGGAUGGGAUGUGUGACGUAGGGCUCUGACUUGACGUCUGUGUCGAUAGUGAUAUGUUCAGACUACCAAAAUAUACCGUAUCAAAAAUGACUAAAAUUAUAUGAAAAAUGACCUCUAAGAUGAGAACAUGCUCUAGUUUCUUAUUUGACUUUGAAUGAAUUCUGUGAUUUUUCUUCUGGUCAAACACUCCUUGCAGAGGCUUAGCUAGUUUGAAUUUUCUUCUCCAAAUAUUUAUUUCUAGGUUUGUAUUUCUUGCUGGGAUCUUAAGCAUGUCCAUGAGCGUCCGAUGCUACAAGAUUAGAAAUCAGAACCCACUCACAUAUGUCCAACGAAUCAAAUCUCCUAACACUGCCACUCCUUAAUAUCUUGAAUUUUCUGACACGAUUACACGCAAUAGAUUCACCUCCACAAGCAACAACGUAAGACAGCUUCCGGCCGAUAAGGCCGCCUACGUUUCUAUCUCAUCAUCUACAGAUCAGUUUGACCAUAAGCAGGAAAUGAAGAAGAAGAGGAGGAAGAAGCAGAGUAAUGAAGGAAUUGGAAGGCGCACAUGAACAGAAUGGGGGGUCUUUAAAUAUGUGGGAGUAUUCCAAUGACAUCGACAGAUCGAGAUGACGAACCAGGAAGCUUCUCUCGAGGCCACACCUACCUGGGCUGUCGCUGGCGUUUGCUCCAUUUUGAUCUUUCUGGCUCUCAUCAUCGAACGCUCUCUUCACCGGUUAACUCUGGUCAGCCAUCUCUCUCGUGCAUUCCUUUUUUUUUUUGUCUUCUUUGUUACAUUUCAUGGCUGAUCAUACGGACGGUGGUGCCUUCAUCAGUUACUUGAGAGAAGAAAGAGGAAGACGCUUAACCAGGCUCUCAACCAUGUCAAAGCAGGUGAGUGAAGAAUGUGGCUCGAGUACUGGAGGAUUGAUUCUUGGUUAUUACCUCGAUUGCCUCUUAUAUGAUCUACGUCUUCUUGGCUGCGUGUUAUCAUCAGAACUGAGGAAUCUGGGGUUCAUGUCCUUGCUGUUGACUGUUGCUAAACAACCCAUCUCAAAGAUCUGCAUACCAGCGAGCCUGGGAGACUCCUUUCUUCCAUGCAAGGAUGCUGCACCGCCAGGCAGAUUCGUUGAGGAGCAAUCUUGCCAAGAGAAGGUACGGAAUGAGUUUGAUUAAUUGCCUCUAUGGGCUCCGCAGAGCAGAUAAUAUCUGUACAUAUGUUCAUGUAAAUGAUCAAAGUCUUCCCCAUUUUGCAGGGAAAAGUAUCUCUGGUUUCAUCAGUAGGGACUCAGCAACUGCAGAUAUUGAUCAUUGUGCUGGCCGUGUUUCAUAUCCUCUCUUGCCUUGUAACCUUGGUUCUUGGGGAGGUUAAGGUACUCUUCCUGUUCAUAUACUGAGCAAAUGACUUGUAGAACAGUAGCAACUAAUAUGAUUGACAGUAUGAUGUUAAGUCAUUCCACAAAGAAUUUGCUUAGAAGCAGAAAUCAUUUCCACAAAAAAUGUACGGGAAAGCAAAUCAUAAGCAGCAAGUUAGAGUCAUACUGUUUGUCUGAUCAUUUUUUUCUUGUAUUGUUCAGAUGAAGAGGUGGAAGGCAUGGGAAGAAGAAACCAGCACUCUGGAGUAUCAGUUAUCAAAUGGUAAUUUUCGCUAUUCUUCUCCGAAACACUCGUUUUCAGUAUCCACUUUUCUGAUUAUACAACAUGAAAAAUUACUUUGACUUCAAUGAAUGGUAGAAUUUUGGGAUUGGCUUUAUGCUUGAAUCAGGUGUGGCUUGUGGGGAUUAGUCUUCCUUGUGUUCAAUGUUCUGUCACUGAUACUAAUUUUGAGAGGGAUGCAGAUCCUCGAAGGUUUAAGCUGACACGGCAAACAUCAUUUGGAGAACGGCAUUUGAAGAUCUGGAGUAAUCACCAUUUAUUUGUUUGGAUUGUAAGUUAGAUCCCUAAUGCUAUGCCUUCAAAUGUAGUUCCAUAAACUGACUUGGUGCCCCUUUUUGUAGGUCUGCUUUUUCCGACAAUUCACUGAUUCGGUCUCGAAAGCUGAUUAUUUUUCUCUUCGGCGUGGAUUUGUUGCGGUAAGGCAUAAUUAUACGCAAGCCAUAUUGGCAUAUGGGAAAUACUAAUUCAACUGAUACUAUAAGUUUGGCUUGAUGGACAGGUUCAUUUAUCUCAAGACUCCAAGUUCGACUUCCGAAAGUUUCUGCAGAGAUCACUGGAUAAAGACUUUGCGGUGGUUGUUAGCAUCAGGUCUUGAUCUGAAACAAAAUUCUCUAUGCUUACUAAAUCCAUCAACAUGUUACUAGAUCACAUCUUUUCUACCAUUUUCAUCUGGCUGCAGCUUCUGGAUAUGGAUGUGUGCUGUGUUCUUCAUUUUCUUCAAUGCCUACGGUAAUGCAACAUCAUCAAUGUUUUCUAUGUUUGUCGGCACAAACUUAAUUAGAUUAGAGUUGCACACUACUCUGCUUUCUGAAAUCAUCUACUUGUUCAUAUUUCUUCUACAUACAGGAUUUUAUAGCCACUACUGGCUUCCCUUCGUUCCUCUAGUGGUAUGCCCCUUACAUUUUCGAAACUUGGUGUAUUGAGUCACAAGCCAAGAACUAUGAUAGGGAAAAAAAUGUUCUUCUUGUUGCAGAUUCUUUUGGUUAUAGGAACAAAGCUAGAGGUCAUCAUAACAACAAUGUGCUUAAAGAGCAGUAAUCAGGCAAUUGUUGUUCCAGGGACAAUAAGCGUGGAACUCGAAAACAGCAACUUCUGGUUUGCUCAACCUCGAUUGCUGCUUCACCUGGUGCAGUUCAUCUUAUUCCAGGUGAGGUCACUCUGUAUCUUGCAAGUGAAUCAGCUUCCUUUGAGUUAACAGAGCAAGUUGCUUCAGAGGAAUACUCUGCCUUGUGAAGAUUAUACAACAAAGAUUUCUCUCACUUCUCCAAAUUCACAUGUUACUAAUGACAAAGAAAAAAAGAGGAAGAGAUGCAUUUCAUCCAUUAAUAAAGUAUACAUAUAUACCAAUGAGCACUUGUCUACAGAUCUUAUUGUAGCUACCUUUGUGCAUUGCAGAACUCCUUUCAGCUUGCUUUCUUCACAUGGGCAUGGGUGGGUAUAUCAUGAUCAAUCCUGACAACUUCCAUCACUCGAGAUCUCAAGCUGACAUGCUCAUGCUGCAGUACAACUUUGGGGUCCGGUCAUGCUUCGACAGAGAGGUGGCGGACAUCAUCUUAAGCUUCGGGACAGGCGUUCUGGUGCAGUUCUUAUGCGCUUACGUUACGCUUCCACUCUAUGCCUUGGUCACUCAGGUAGGCCAUGCCGAAAGCUCAAGGCUCGAUCCUAUCACGCUCGGCUGUUCAUUGUUCGAAUCACUUCUCUUCAGAUGGGUUCUUCAAUGAAGGAAACCAUCUUCGCCGACGAGGUUAUGGAGGGCCUGAAGAGCUGGAAGAAGAGAGCAAGGAAGAACCUGGCAAACCAGAGAUCGGUGCCUUCCGGUACCUUUCUACCGCGGCCGUAUACUCGGCUAACGGAUGAAGCUUCUUCUUCCUGUGGUCGCACACCGAGAAAGCGAGAGUUCAGGUACCCUUCACGGAGGCUGGAACUACUGGAAGUCCAGAGAGUGGUGGAGGAGGUCAUUCAGCACGGUGCCAACAACAUGCCCAGUGACGGCGAGGUCUCUUUUGGGCUGUGGAGACGACCAAUGAAUUAAAUGGUCAACAUCCAAAUCUUCCCAUGAAGGGAGCAACAUCUCCCAGAGGAAGUUGUAUUUGUGGUCACUGCCUUGGAUUAACAGACUGAUAUGAACCGGUGAAAUAGGACAAUUCAACAGUAAUAACAUAUAACAGAGUCCACAUGAGUCUCCAUCUUCGUCCUGCCAUGAAGAGGACUGAUGACCAAAGCCAGACUGUCUCAAGACCCCAAUAAUGCUCCAAGUCCAUAGUACUCAUCAUUAAACGGGAGCUCAGAUGGAAAGAACGGCGUCUCUACAACGAGAAAGAAGCUCAUGUUUGCGAUUAAGCUGGUGAAAUGUCUCCUCAGAGGAUUGUUAUUGCUGGUGAAGCAGUGUCUUCUUCCUGCGCCAGAUGGAAUGCAUGUGGAAGAUGGGUACUCACUGAAAGGGGAUAUUCUACCUAAUGGCAGUCUCAUGCAAGCCUGUGUCGAUUCGAAGCAUCAACUGGUAACUGGGAAACAACCAGAGUUAAAGCAUCCUUUUUUGCUAUCCUACAGUGAUUGGAGUAGGGCAGAUGCAGCACUCGGUGGGUAAGCUGUCACAGCAGGACCAUUAUUGCUCUCAUGUCUGGCCUUCCUGAUCUGUAAGAAGAGUGCAGAGGGCCAUGGCGUGAAAUAUAUGAAUGGAAGGAGGUGAGGUGAGGUGAGCUUUAUGUUCCACACAAGGUUCCUGAUAGGCCUCACUCGCCAACUCCGGUGGCCAGCUCAUUCCAACCUUCUUUUCCCUCACUCCACUACAAAGCGCACCCCCCACCUCACCUCUCUCCCUCUCUGUCAUCACCUCCCAUCGAGCCAUCGACACCAUCCAUCCCCAAUGGCCUCCUCACCCAUGCUCAUUGGCCUGACCACAUUUCUCCUCCUCACCGCGUCCGCCCUCUUCGACCAAGCCGAGUCCAAGGUGGCUCCCGGUCCUAAGCCGGCGCCGCUCAACCUCACCGGCAUUCUCGAGAAGGGCGGGCAGUACGGCACCUUCCUUCGCUUGCUGAGAGAGACGCAGGUAGGGGAGCAGAUCGAGAGCCAGCUGAACAACUCCUUCAAUGGCCUCACCAUCUUCGUCCCCACCGACAAUGCCUUCAGCAACCUGAAAGCCGGCACGCUCAACAGCCUGACGACCCAAGAGCAGGUGUCGCUGGUCCUCUACCACGUCCUCCCGAGGUACUACAGCCCAACCACCUUCGAGACCACGAGCAACCCGGUGAACACGCAGGCAUCGGGGAGGAGCGGCGUCUACACCGUCAACAUCACCAGCACCAGCAACCAGGUGAACGUGUCCACCGGGGUCAACGAGACGCCCAUCAACACCAACCUCUACUUGGAAUUCCCGUUGGCGGUGUUCUCGGUGGACAAGGUGUUGCUGCCCGCCGAGCUCUUCGGGGCUAAACCUCCCGCGUCAUCACCGUCUCCGGCGGCGACUCCGGUGAAGCCUAAGAAGAGUGCUCCGGCAGCUGACGGGCCUUCCGCGAGCGCCGACACAGCGCCUUCUGCGGCUACUCGCAAGGGAAGGAGCGUGGAACGGGUCCUGCUUCUGGGGAUCGGGUUGGCGUGCGUUGGGAGUCUUCUCUAGGGAGUCCAUUGACUGCAUGGGACUGUGACUGCGUCGUUGAUCUCUUGGGUGUCUGGUUUGCCGUUGUCAGUAAAUUCCUGCAUGCAUUUGUACCUUUUAUUUCUACCAUUCAUGAGUUAUUUUAUUUGCUCUGUUCAAAAAUAAUAUUUUCAUCAUCACUUAUGCAAUAAUGACAUUUUUGGAUCAAUAAUCACAACCUCAUAACUUAUUAUGAUAUCUUAAUUACAAUAUCAAUUGGAUGAUUAAAAGCUUAAACUGUUUGGAAAGUGUCCCAUCUAUAUUAAAUUCCAAAAACGGACAAUUAAUUUCAAUCUCUCCACUUUUUUGCCUUUCCCCUGUUCCGCUGCAACCACCAUUCACAAGGACGGAGAGGCCGCAACUGCUGUCCUCUCCGGCGUCCCACCGACCACGGCAUUAAUUAGUGCAUGGCCCACGAACACGUCGUCUCUCUCUUGGUGGAUUACCGAUCACCGGCCCAACGCACGACCCUCUCGCGCAGAUCUCUCCAUACAUUAGAAAGCAUAAUGUAUCUGUGGCGUGGACGGCAAUCAUUGAUGCAGACCUGAGGUCCCGUCCAUGACGAUCACUGCUCCUGGUCCUACUCUCCCCUUCUCCUCUCGAUGCUGCCCUCUCCCACACCAAGUUUGAGAAUGAUGAAUGCAUACAUAAGCGAAGGGCCUGUGGGCUGAUAUAUUGCAUUUAACCUCAAUAAUACUGAUCUCUCUCUCUCUCUCUCUCUCUCUCUCUCUCUUUUCCCUGACUGAAUAGUGUGUUGGACUUAGGAUGAUAGAAAAGGGAUAAAGGCUUUUCUGGCAUCUUUGCAGAAAUUGAAGGUGCUGAUAUCCACACGUCCAGCGGCUUUGAAAUAUAUUCUGCUGUCAACAUAACCAUGCAAGGAAACAGACAUGCCAUUGGUGACAAGAUCUCUCUUUUCCCCAAGGCUUACUUCCUCCUCGUUUUACUCUUUCUUUUCUCCUCCGACUCCUCUUACAUAUUUGAGACGGAGCAGUACUUUUUAUUGUGGCGCCCUGCAGAGGAAUCUCAUGUCGGAAAGGAUGUGGAAAGUGGUCGCCAUGCCUUGGGCAAGGAGAGAAUAUCCAAGGGCUUUACAAGACUUCAAAUGCUAACCUCCAAAUGCUUUGGAGUAAACAAAGAUCCCAACCAUGGAUAUCACAUGAAAGACCUGUUUGAUUGUAGUUAAUCCAUGCACUGCAGUCAGCCCGGAGGCAACGCAUCAGAGCUUAGGCUUUUUUCUAGCUGAUGUCUCCUUCCACAAGAAGAAUCAAAUCAAUGGAAAUGGAGAUGUCAUGUGCAUUCCGAGUCAUCUACACUGACGCAAAUUAUAAGCAUCCAAUAGCACGCACCAUGCAACACGAUCAAUCAAAACAGUGGAUAAAUUCCCACAAUGCUUUCCUGUACAUCGUCCCGAACAGGGUUUCAUGUGUCUUCGGUACAAAGCAACACCGACGAACUGAAAGGAUGGAUACAAGUGUGGAAAGAGAUGGAGUUCAGAGAUCUGGAAAGAGUCGAUAAGCUUGCAUGGCAUUAUUCAUGGACAAGUAUUCCUUCUCUGUCGUAUACGUCGUCGCAUGGCUAUGGAGUUCCUACAGCAUCCAUGGUGGUAGCACGUGCAUGAGUAGUCCUAAGGAAUCAUAGGACGGAGACUGCACCGAUGUUAAGUCUAAUGAGGAUUUGGUCUGUGUGAAACCGUGUAAUUAGUCCCUUAAUUCAUGCCUUGGACCUCGGAAACACACAUCGAGCUGUCUGGUACGCCACUCAUACAAUAAGCUUACCUCUUAGAAAUGAGUGUCACCCGAAGGAACGAGAGAGAGGGUUUGUGUUAGAUACAUCGGCCAAAGUCUUCUUCUCAACGUUUACUAUCCAUAAAUAGGAGUAGGAAAGUUGGCAAUUGUCUUUAGGGAAGCAGAAGGAGAAGAAAUGGCCGGAGAAGCAGUUUCAAAGGCCUCCCAACCACUAAAUCCAUGUCCUGAUCCCAAUCUUCCUCCUGUGGUCAAGAAAAAGAGAAACCUCCCAGGAACACCAGGCAAGCAUCCAUGACUAACACAUUGGAAUGGAGCCUCUCUCCUCUCUUCUCUCUUCGAUGGUAGUUUCAGCUUGACUAAGCUCUUUGUAUCAACAGAUCCUGAAGCAGAGGUGAUUGCGCUCUCCCCGGGAACCCUCUUGGCCACCAAUCGAUUCCUGUGUGAGAUCUGUGGCAAAGGCUUCCAGCGAGACCAAAACCUGCAGCUCCACAGGCGAGGCCACAACCUACCAUGGAAGCUGAAGCAGAGGAGCGGCAAGGAGCCGAGGAAGCGGGUGUACGUGUGCCCGGAGGAGAGCUGCAUCCACCAUAACCCCGCGCGGGCGCUUGGUGAUCUCACGGGCAUCAAGAAGCACUUCUGCCGCAAGCAUGGCGAGAAGAAGUGGAAGUGCGACAAGUGCUCCAAGCGGUACGCCGUGCAGUCCGACUGGAAGGCCCACUCUAAGACUUGCGGCACGCGAGAGUAUCGCUGCGACUGCGGCGUCCUUUUCUCCAGGUAUAUUAAUUGCCUCAUCUUUUGCUACGCGUUUGGAUUGAUCUAAAGGCUGUUCGCCGAAGAGGAAAUCCAAUUGGAUUAAUUGGAAGUUUGUCUCGAUGAACAGGAGAGACAGCUUCAUAACCCAUAGGGCUUUCUGUGAUGCUCUGGCUGAAGAAACCGCAAGAGUUUCAGCAGCAUACACCAUGACGAACACGACGUCGAUCGGCAGUGUCGAUUCUCUUCUUCAAGAUGGUGCAAUGACACCCAACAUAUGGAAACAUCUUUCGCCAAAUCUUAAGCCAAACAUUAUGGAUCGUGAGGUUGGUCAGCAGGAUAGACACGGGUGUUCAUCGUGGAUGGGCCAUGGAGGUCAGCUCGAUAAUGCCUUUGAUGGAACUACUGCUAUGUCUGAGAUCAACCAAGCUGGGUUGGUCGACAGUCAAUUGAGUUGGAUCCAUUUCAACAAGUUGUCGUCAUUGCCAACUUCAAACACUUUGAAGCCUCUCACGGGAAGCGUUCCUUCCUUGUUUACUUCGCUGCCUCACCGUCCUGCUCCCGAUAUAUCUGCCACGGCAUUGCUGCAAAAGGCUGCACAAGUCGGCGCGAUCUCCACCACCCCAUUCUCGGGGAGCUUUGGGCUGCCCGAGUGCCAGAACACAAGCGCCGGUGACGGCAGCGUCUUUGAUGGCUUGCUCAUUCAUGAAUUCGCUGCGUCGAACACGGACGAGGUAAAUUACAUCACAAGGAGCCGCAGCAUGCUAAGAGAUUGUCUUGGAGGAGAGACCCGGGACUUCUUAGGAGUCGGGGUGCAGACUCUUUGUCAGCCAUCAGCAAAUGGAUGGAUCUGAGCCUGCUCGAGGGUGGACGGCAACAAGAAAGAGAUGACGGGGAGGAGACAGGUGGUGAUUGAGUAGUACUGCUUGCUCUACGGGAAGACGAAGUCAUCCGAAAGUAGCAGCUGCUCCUUGAAACGGCUGCUUUUGUUUGGAGAAGAAAGGUGGGAGUGUUGGGAGACGAGGAACACCUUCCCCUUCAUUUCCAUUACUGCACUAAGCUUCAUUUCUUUCAAGGUUGUCUUUAAUGUAAGCUGGAAUUAAGUGCUUCUAGUGGCACAAUGCAUGAAUUUUUCUUUCUAAAUAUAUUUUUUUUGACAAGUCCAAAAAUGGCACAAAGUUGUCUUGGCAAGUCCAAUUAAUUUAUUUUGCAUUAUAAUUACAAAUCAAGAAAAAUAAAAUAUAUAAAAUUAGAGUAGGAAUUAAUAUAGGAAUAUUUCUUCAUAUUUUUUCCAUCAUAUUUUUGCACCACCUUUUUUUAAACAUUUCAUAUUUCUUCUUUCAUUACUUUUUAUUAAUUAUUUUGAGAAGAAAAAAAGAUGUAGGAAAACUAAACCAGAUUUCUAUUCGGGAUCCUCUCCAAUUCAAACAGAGGAUCGUCCUGUUCAAUUGGUCUCAUCAUCACUCUUCGUCCUUCCACUUUCACAUCCUAUCCAUCCAUUUAUCGCAUAGGGAACGUGGCCGGACGGUUUGGUGGAGACGAUCCCUCCCUCACCUGCAGGCCGUCUCUUUAUGUGCUACAGCGUGAUAAUAAUGAGAAGAAAUAUAACAAGCAGGUGGCCGCCGAAACAAUCAAGAAAAGCCCGACCUUGCGGAGAAACCCGCUCGAUCUUUUCUCCUCGCUUGAAUUCUCCGGAACUCCCAAGAAUCCGGCCGCGUCGAGACCGGACGAGGACGAUGGCCUGCAAACCCAUCGCCAACAGGCUCGGGAAGGAGGCGGGCAUCCACCCCGAGGUUCCGCCGCUUCAUCGUUACCCUCGAUCAGGUCUUCGAAUCUCUUCCCCGUUCUUCCCCCAGUUUUCGAUUCCUCCGACUAGGGCUUCUAAAUCACCUUGACUUCGUUAUGUUAUUAUGUUCGUGUUCUAUUUCUUUGGUUGUUAAAUCAUCCUGAAACGUAUGACUUGAAACUUCGUCCAUCAAUCUAGAGAGCAAUCGUUGGAACUAGAAAUUGUGACUGAGGUUUGCUGUUUUAAUACGUUAUUCUAUAGUCGAGAGUGCUGUGCAUGAACUGUGCCAUCUAACUAUGUGUAUAAGCGAGGGAUCGAAAUAUGUUGUGCGUAAACUGGGCGGAUCAACUUAUGGAUGAAAGGAAGAAAGGUGUCAUCUUCCUGCUCGCUAGCAUUUCCAAUUGUUACUUGAAUUAGUAACUUAUGAUUGAGAAUUUUGACCUAGAAAUAAUCCAAAUCAUUAAGGUAGUUAAGACAAUGUCUUUUUUUUUCUUUUAACUAAAGAAUGGGAAGAUAGGAGACUCAGAAUUAUGGUUUUCAAAUGAUGAUAAGAAACCUAGACAUUGAGAGGUAAGUGCAUAAAUGCCUGGCCAUUGUGUUUGUAUCUGUUGCAUCAUUUUUUGCUGCUGAUCGGAUUACCCAAUUGAUCGAAAGUAAAGGAAUUUUAACAUGUGCACUCUUGAAUGCCGAAAGAUUAUGAACCAACUGGGAACAACCAUUUUAUUGCAUUAUUCUAGAUAUAUUGAUCUUGGUCAAACUUUGAUAGUCCCUCAAAAUUUUGGUCUCAAGUGUGGACAUGUAGGUAUAUGAUCUUUGAAUGGAUAGAACGCUAAUCUGCUGAGGCUCGUACAAAUUUGAUAGGAUUCAGUCUAAUUACCUAAUUACUGAGACUUAUUUUUCCUCAAGACCAGGAGAGAUACCAAUCGUUCUAGACUAUUACUUUAAUAUAACCGGUAAUUUAUAGAACCAAUGUAGACAGUCCAGAAGUAUUUUUUUAAUUACCUAAUUACUGAGACUUAUUUUUCCUCAAGACCAGGAGAGAUACCAAUCGUUCUAGACUAUUACUUUAAUAUAACCGGUAAUUUAUAGAACCAAUGUAGACAGUCCAGAAGUAUUUUUUUAAUUGUGUAACAGUAAUAUAUUGUUGGGUCUUUUUAGUCUGAGAUAUGCAAGUCUAUGUGAAGUUCAUCGCCAUUGGUUCCAAUAGAUGUGCUUUGAGAGUAGAGGUAGGACUUCCAACAGAAAGAAAUACAUUGGCAAAUACAAGGUGUAAUUAUAGAUUACCCCCUAUAGUUAACUAUGAUUAAUUGAUGGGCGAGCAAUUUGGAAAGAACAGGAGAAGAGAAAAUCAGUAAAGUUUAUAUAAAAUUAAUAAUUUAAAAGAUAAUGAAAUUAUUUUUUUAUCCUUUCCGUUCGUGUUUUUUCGCAAGUGACAACACGUGCGAUUUUUUCCAUCGACGAAGUUAACGACGUAAGGAGAAUUGAAGUUAAAUAUUUCACCUUCGUAAGUGUAGGGAUCCCAAUGCUACUUUUUAAAGUAUAAAGACUGGAAUGCUAAUCAUAAUUAAUUAUAGAGGGUAAUCUGUAAUUACCCCCAAGUCCAAGAUUAAGGAUGUGUGUUGAGCUAAUUGGUUUAAACAGUAUUGUUUCACAUCCCAACUUAGUCUUAAAUUAAUGGUAGCAAGAGGUGUAGGUCUGGCCGGAACACUACCAGAUGUGCACCAACACUAACUAUCUGAAUGAGAGACUUUUCUCAAGUCAGGGCACAGAACAUUUUUCUUCCUGAUUAGCAUAUAGUAGAGUGUGGCAACUGAAUCAGAUUCUGACAUAUGAGAUGCUUUAACUUAUUUAACCAUUCUGAUUCUUAAAAAUAAAUUUGCAAUACUGGAUUUUCAUCUGGUGCACCUGUAAGUUUACAAGACUAUAUAUUCAUCAAUCAUAACAAUCAUAUAUAUUGAUUCAAUGGGUCAAUGGUUUGACUUAGAUGGAAAUAAAAGUAGUUAUAUGUAGUAACAGAACACUGGUUUAUGCAUGCAUUAGUUGGUUUGUAUAUACUAGUAUCAGAUUUUUGGGAAGAUGUGUUAUAUAUAGAAUUUGAAAUUUUCUCUUGAUAGCUGAGUAAUUGAUGGAUGACUAUCAUAUGGUAGACUACUGAUAAUCAUAAAUUGUUGUUCCUAGUAAUCAUAGUAAGGGGGAAAACAACUUCAACUCUAACCACCACACACCAUUUUGAUAUCUUUCAAAAUGUAUCUUUUGCAUGAGAACUUGUACAUAAGUGAAAGGGAAUAACUGUUGUUAUUCUUAUAAUGAUUUACCAAACUGGUGCACAAGAGCAACACGUAAAUAUUGUUUCGCAAAACAUAUUUUCUGAUCGGAAUUUACUUUCAAAUCUUUGAUAAGGAGAUCCACAUAAUAGAGUAAAAGAAUUAGUGUGACAGAUACAUUUUCGUAGACAAACUAUUAAAGCACUCAUCACAGUUCAUCCAUCAGGAAAAGUCAAGAAACAGAAGGAGAAAAUGAAAAUGUUACGCUAUUCUUGUAAUGACAAACAUCAUCCUUUGUGUUUAUAGAAUGAAACAGGUCCUCUGCUUUCUGGUCUUUUUCUUUGGCUUUGGUGGACAAAGAACCACCUUAAUUGCAGCAUCAAAUACAGCCUUCACAUUCUAAAAAAAAAAGAUGAGAAGUUAAUAUGAACUAUAUAAUAUAUUUCUAUUGACUAUUCUGAUUGUUUAAAAUGUUGUUAUAAGUCUAUCGGUCACAGGUGAGAUAUUUAAUGAUGGUUAUCGGUAUCUUAUAACAUUUCAAACUUGGUGUCCUUCCAAUAAAAACGAGCAUCCUAUUUUUCCUCUUUUUUUGAGUUCAAGUUAAGAACAUCGCAAUCAAUUCAUGCUAUGUAAAUUGUUAUCCCUCAGUGUCUGAAUAAUGACAUUGAGAAACUUCAGAAUUCAAAGUCUUAACAUCAAAAAGGCAUAAUAGGCUUGUUUGGAUCUUUCAUUACCUGUUGAGUCUUGGAACUACAUUCUGUGUAGACAGCCGCACCUAUCAUUUUCUUUAGCUCUUCUCCCUGCUUAUAGUCAAACAGUAUGCUGCACUUAGUUUAUGACUUGAUAAGUACCGCUUUAUAGACUGACUAGCAGUAGGUCAACUUGCCUGUGCAGUUGUGAUAGGUGUUGCCCCAGGGUGAUCAAUGAAAAAUUGCUUGUCUUCACGUAAGUCUGCACCGCAUUAAGACCAAGAUUAUACAACUUACUGACUAGUAUUUUGGAAGGUUAAACCUUCAAUUUGAAAUCAAAAGGGAAAUAGCAUCAUACUUUAAAGAUGACUUUUCAAAAGGGAAAUAGCAUCAUAAUAGGUUAUAUAGGUCAACAACUGAACUACUAAUCAACUUAUCAUUAAUUAGAUCGCCAAUGAAGCAGUGACCUUAUGACCUGAAUGGUUUGACUAUCUGAUGAAAGAUACCUCAGGUGCAUUAUAGAAAAUUCAAUUCAUGGAAAACCAUACUGGUCAACUUGUAGGUUGCAUCUAACUCCUUGUAUGCAAGUAGUUGCUUUCUUUUACUUUUUUUUUUGUUAGUUAAGUUUAUCUAGACAUAAAUUUCAAUUAAAAGAAUACAAUGUUAUUACCAAGUUUAGUCCCAACUAGCACAAUCGGCACAUUUGGAGCAUAAUGUCUCAACUCAGGAAUCCACUGCGAAAAAAAGAGAAGGUCAUGAGAUACAAAUAGAGGACACAAUGAUAUGCAUGAAAGCUGAAAGAAAACAUGCCAAGGGUAUUUAUUACCUUCUUGUAUAUGUUCUCAUAGCUGGCCUUACUGGUGAGAGAAAAUGCUAAAAGAAAUACAUCAGCUCCUCUGUAACUGAGAGGUCUGAGCCUAUUGUAGUCCUCUUGUCCUGAAUUCACAAUAUUGGAAAGCUAUUCCAUCUCAAUUUGAUUUCCUCAUGAGGUAUGAUUGAUCGAGUAUUUACUGUUUGUCUUUUAGAUUGACUAGUUAUUGUUGUCUUUUACAUUUAUACUUGAGAAUCUAAUGCUAGCAAAACUUGAUAUGAAAUAUUUUCAAUGUAUAGAAUUUAGACAAGAUGUUGAAAUGAUGGAGUACUACAUAAACAGAGAGGAAGAUCUACUACUUUUUCCAUCAAUAAUGAUCAAUUAACUAUCCCCAGGUGUUUGAUGAUAGUAAAGUAUAUACAAUUGUGGCUGGAUAUAGACGUAUUUGAACAAUUUUCCAGUUGAAAUACACUGUUAUCUUAUGCAAACUAUUUCUAGCUUUGCCAUAGACCAGGAGGACCAGAAUCUAUGGCCAGAUCGAUUUAGCACCAUAUAAGUAGGGCAAUUAAGCUCACCUGCUGUGUCCCAAAGCCCAAGGUUCACUGUGCUUCCAUCAACUAUUACAUUAGCACUGAAGUUAUCGAACACAGUCGGGACAUAAUCCUGUUAAGAACAGUCGCAACAAGAGAAAGCACAGCUGAAUUCUACCUCAUAACUAUGCAAAUUUUGCAGGUAAAAAGCUGAGCUUCCCCGUGUUACCGUCGGAAAAGUAUUGCUGGUGUAGGAGAUGAGCAUGCAGGUCUUCCCGACUGCCCCGUCGCCGACCGUCACGCAUUUGAUGAACCUUGCCGUGCUCAUCGUCGUAAUGGCACUGGUACUGUUUCUUCUUCUCCCUCUCCCUGGUGCUGAUGGUAUAUAUAUAUAUAUAUAUAUAUAUAUAUAUAUAUGUCGUUGUUCUCNNNNNNNNNNNNNNNNNNNNUAUAUAUAUAUAUAUAUAUAUAUAUAUAUAUGCGUUUGUCUCAGGCUUUAACCACCAUUGGGCCAACAAAGUAGGAAGGACAGAGAGGAAGAGCGAUGAAAGGUGGGGAUUUCUGCUGCAAAGUGUUUGAAUUUUGAAUGGGGGCCGGGGAACGUAGGGCGGACUAGGAAGUGGUGGUAGGAGAGGCCCCCUCCUCUUUAAUGAGGUGGGGAGCAGCGCCACCACCGCCAGGGGUGCACAGCUCAUGCAUGCUUCACGAAGGCUGAGCAAUGAUGGCCUGCUCCACACACCCGAUGGUGCUCUUUUGGUUUGCCUUGCUUUGGGUGCAAGAAGGAGCGCUAGGAUCAGCCAAUCUCCUUGGGCGUGAGUGUUGGUUGGUUGGUUAAGUGCGGGAGAAGGAUGGUGAUGAUGGGAUCAAGGGAGAUGGGUGGCCUCCUUUGGCUUGCUUAGUAGAAUUAAUUUUCCACCAAGUGAUCAUGAUUGCGUGGUCAUCCAAUCUUGGUGAGACCACUAAGUCCCUUUGGAAACUUGGGAAAGAAAAAAGGGGUGAAGCAACUCUUGGUGGGCUUAGGUAUAUCAAUUGCUUUUUUUAUGUGCAAAAAGUCUUCUGGACUUUUUAUUGCUCGUAUGAGAAGAAAUCCGAGUGGAAGUAUUGAGUACAUACCAUUCAUUUGCAACUAAAACUUCAUUAUAAUUGCAAGUACGAGUGAGUAUACAAAAAAAAAAAUUACGAAGUCGAAAUAUGGUUAAAUUUAAUAUCCCAGAGCAUUAUAGUCAUAUAUAAUGUGUGAUUUUAUUAAGUUUUAUUAUGAUUUUUGAUGAUAGGCAUGUAGGAAUCCGUCCUUGCCUUGCUCGCGGGUUGGGCUUUACAAUGGUUAUUGGAGGCAACCAGGUGAAAAGGCCCAGCCUCUCGACGAACAUGUGAACGGGUCGGAUCGUAGCCAUCACGGCCCGAUGCGGUAAUGGGACGCCUCACCAAGUCCUCGUAGAUAAAUGGAGGGUAGGAUGCCUGUUUUGUCCCGAUAAGAAUCCCCGUAUGAUUCAUCUCCGGCCGCCGAGAGGAUCUCCGAGAAGCGCUACGAUCUUGGAGGGGCCUCAAGGACAAGGCGCAGGUUUCUUCUCCUCCUCCUCCUCCUCCUUUCUCUCGCCAUCCUCUUCUUUUUUCUAGAGUUUCGAGUCGGUUUCUUUUUUUUUUCCGGUUGGUUUUCGAGGAAUGGCAGGCAGCAUGCGGUAAGCCUACGAAGGUGCAAACGGAGAACAACUCACGCCGCGGUUUUUGAAAUUAUUGUCGACCCUUGCCAGCAAGUCCACGACCGCCUGGUUCGAUUUCAUCGAAGAAGACGAGGAUGGAGUUGGUCCCUCGCCCUUUUUCGUUUUGUUUCUGCUUCUCUUGCUUCUUCUUGGCAAUGGAAUCUGCUCACCCCAUCGUCGUUAGGGAUUGAAAGGUAUGGAGACAGUGGUUCCUACAUCAUGUGAUUAGUGAUAAUUUUGCUUCCUUAUGUUGCCCAAAGAAGUCACUGGAAAACCUUUCCCCACCUUCUCCUCCCCUCUUUUUUUUUUUUUGUUUCCGAGUCAGAAGGUUUUGAGGGUUUAUUCUCUUUGGUAUUUGUUAAAUAUAAAAGUAGAGGGGUGUUGUUGGUACGGCAUUUCUAUGCAUGCAAAGAAACAAACAUGUGAGAUUAAUAUAUGCCAAGUGUUGUCCAUAUUUUCUAUUUUGAAUACAGCUUGACAUACUCCUGUUGGUAUUGAAUACCGGUAAUUGUUUCGAUAGGUACAAGUCAUUCAAGCUGACUCGUUCUCAUCAUAUUGUUAUCAAAUCUACCUACCAAGCUUAUCCCAUCUGCGGGGGAGGCAAAAGAAGAAGAGGGCUUUAACACGCGUCGACAGACUCUAAAUGGCUGAACAUAAAGAGUAGUUACAUGUCCCCCCAAUGGCAAGUAAAAGUCAGAUAGACAAAAGGAACAGCCACUCAACCUUUGCUCUUUCUCACAAGAACCCAAGGAAUAAACAAAUGAUACCUUUACAGGCUCCGUCUCAUGAUCUCGUAUGAAAUUCCAACAUUGAGUGAUAUUUUGGCUACCCUUUCUUUCUAUAUGGCGAGUUGGAAAGACAGACACAUACAUACUACACAUUACUAUUUAUUAAUCUCGCCACACACACUCGUCAGCUCAACUGGUUGCACCACCGAUAAUCGCAGCAAUUGCAGAAAGCGCAGCCUGCUCAUGGAAGACCGUGAACCACCCCCACUCAUCAGAAAAACUUCAUAACUUUUGUAAAUUGUCAUGCUAAUUCAGCCAUUCCAUUUUAUGAUUGAUCAUCCAAAACACACAUUGUACAUACAGUAUGUAAGCUAUACAGUACAUUAUCCACAAGUAAUGUUGUUGACUGACAUAAACGGGACAUUGUGAAAGUGUACGCUCUGUUUAAGCAAUAAGAUCAAUAAUUCAAUGCGGCUACUCCACUUGAUCCGUCGUCAUCUAAAGUAAUUUGUUGACCCAAAAAAAAAAAAAAAAAGAAGAAAUAGGUUCACAAUAGAGUUUUGUGUCUUAAGAUCUCUGAUUUGAGCAACGCUCGUCUAUCAUAACCACAUUUUUACAAACCUUGUAAUUUCUCUAUCAUACAUUUACCGGUCUCAAUGCAGGCCCAUCUUUAGAUGCCACUGCCACAUGAUGAAUAGAAACCCUAAUGGAAUAAACUCGAUGACAUAGAAAUCCUCUUCUUAUCCAUCUCCAUAUGCAUACAUCAGUGCUCGAGUGGAUCAUAUGGUGGGAUAACAAAAAGGGUAAAACUCGAGCAUGAUCCACGUACAGAUGGUUCCUAUGCACAGUUGAGCAUGAUCCACCCAUCCGCUUAAGAAUUAAUUCAUCAAGCAAUUCUAAUGAGUGAAAUGUCUGAUCACGGUAAGCAUCGUCUAUAAACUCUCGACCAUCACACAUCUCCAUCUCAUUCCCUAAUUCCCUAGUUACGCUACGACGCAUACAACCAUUUUAUUUCUCGGAACCAUUGCUCUUCAAACCCUUCCACCUUCGAAACCUCUCCCUCUACCAAAUGUGGACUCAAUCGAUGACUAUGCCAAGUAAAAUAUUGAACACCAACUGAACCAUCUUGCUUCUUGAUUUCAUGUGGAUAGGAAUACAGUUCAAUCUUGGAUCCAUGGUGCACUAGCCUGAUCUGGUCCAAUUUGACCAACUUGACCAAAUCAGGUCGGAGCAGGAACGGUACCACUUAUCCCUGUUUCCAUCCCACCGGCAAAAAAAAUACCUAUCCCAACAAUUUAAUCUUUUUUUAAAAUUAUUAUACUGCAAAUAUAAUAGCAUCACACAUAUAUCAAUAAUCUUUUUAAAAAUAAAACAAAUUCAGUUUUAACCUUCGAAUAUGCCUUAGCAAAUGCCAACUUAUGAUAAUCUAGCAAGUAUAUCACUGAAGAUAAGUAUGAUAUUCACGAUCACUGAUAACUAAAGUUUACUGACUGUAAAGGGAAAAUCGAUUAACAUAAUGAAACAAAAACCACUUCAGAGGAAAUAAAAAAAAAACGUUUAGAAAAAUAUGGUAAAACAAUUUUCACAACUUCUUUAUAGAAAAAUUUACUUACUGCAAUUGUGCAAGCGACUAAGCCUGGUUUCUCUCUGUGGUCUACUCUGGCACAAAGUAGAAAAAACACGCCAACAUACCAUGGGAUCGCAGCCAGAAAGAAUCCAAUUAUGAACCUUCCAAAAAAGAUACUCUUCAUUAGCCUCAAACAUUCUAAGAAUUGGUAAUAUAUGUUUGAAAGACUGAAAUAGUUCAUGCAUUGUAUAUAUGUAGAUGUAGAUAUAUGUAUACACAUACAUAUAUAAGGAAAAAGCAAGAUUCACAUACAAAACCCAACCGAUGCCCAAGCCGCAGCAAGGGAGACUUGGCAGUGUCUCUGGUCUUCCUUCAACGACAUGUGCAUAACCUCGAAGAUAGUAAGCAUUAGAUGCAUUAGAACACAUCAAUAUGUCAAAAUAUCACAUGAACUAGGCACGAUGACCUAUAAUCUAGUUUGAUUACAGUUGAGCCAAGUUUAUAUCAAUGCUCUCACUAUAAAAAGCAAAAUGAAUAAAAUUGAUAUUCCAUUGCACAAAUAUAAACAUGCACCAUAAAAUUCAUGGCGAACUUCAAUUUCAGAGACAACAUCUAAACCAUUAGAAAUACACGAAGAGUCAUCAACACCGUCUCCGAUCUUUGCAGUAUCAAUCAGUCAGGAAUUCUAGAUGCAUAGAUGAAGAAGGCAGCACUAUCCAAAGCCUUCCUUGAUCCACAUGCGGAUCAACAUCCCAUGGCCCAUUCCGGUUUCGGUUUUGGUUUUGGUUCGAGAUUUUGCGAAACCGGAACCGUGGUCAGGGCUACACUGGUGAAUGACAGGAGGGAAAUCAUCCCCGGGGGAAACUCCAAUUUUUCUAUUGAGAAAAAAUAUAUAUUUUUUUUUUCUAUCUGCUGUUCUAUAAGCUUUCAUUUCAACAACAAGCAAAAUAUUCAGCUAGUAGGCCUAAUUCCUAAUCUUCAGCGAUGGCCCAGUCUUCCAGCAAUGAAACUUGACGGCACACCUCGCCCAUCGUCCAUGAAUUGUACUGGUAAAUGCCGUCGGAUUGGAACUAGGAAAGAGUGGUUAAGGCUUUCAGCGAAAGGAAAAAAGAUCUUGACACGAUUCCCGCAGGAUAAGAGAUUGGGGGUGGAAGUCACACUGGCUGGGAUCGAUAAGGGAUUUCUGAAGCGGCUGAUGCAUUCCAAUUCCCCACCCAUCCGGAGGCAAAAAAUGAAGAUCUCCUGAAACAUGCGAAUGAUGUUUAGCUCGCCAUAAUCCCGAUCAAUUGAAGCCCUAAAAGAUCUGUCAACCCUCUCCGCCGCCAUAAAUUCCCACAACCACUUCAGGAAAGGACAUACACCAGGCCGAUACCUCGAUCCGCAUUCCAAGAAACCAUCAUCCUCGACACCGAUGACUUACAAAUCCAAGAACCAAUUACCCACGAAAGACGAGACGAUUGAAGCAAAUCUAUCGGAAUGAAUUCAGAAUGCUGCUAUACCUGGGGCGGCCUGGUAGUCGUGGGCGUAAGAGGGAGGCAACGGCUGCUGCGGAGGCGCAGGGAAGGGAGGUUGAGCGGCGGUUAAGCCGGCCGGAGAGGCAGGAGAGGGGGAAUGGGCGAUUGUUAGGCCCGGCGGCGGCACCGGCAGGGGGAAGCCGAUGCUGGCGGGCUGGGCGUGGUCGGAGGCGCCAUGGAAGGUGCUGCAUUGCGGCUUGUCCUUGCUCUCCUCGCUCAUCUUCCCCCCUCCCCUUUCUUUUGUCGUGACCCCUCUCCGUCUCCUCUCCCCUUUUGCCUUCUUUCAUCUUCUUCUCUUCCUCCCGCCCUGAUUUAGACUUCCCCGAUUGCGUUAUUUCAGGUAACGCGCGAUGUGGCUUCGCGGAACCAGACGCCACUUCUGGCACUCGUUUAUCGAGUACCCCACUUCCCUACCUGCCUCUUCAUGGCACGUAGUGUUUUCGCAGCUCUGGGACCCACAAAAAACCAGUAAUCAAGUGAAACGUGGAUAAGCCAGGUACUCCAGAAACGGGUAGGAAAACCACGUCCGUCUUAAUCUCUAACGACGGUUUCAACGUCGCGCCACCGACAGAAGAAAUGACCCAUCCUCUUCUACCCGGUGGACACGCAACCCUAUUCCUUCCUCAUCUGUUCUUUUCUAGUGGGUCCCAGGUAAAUGAAAAGGUCAGCGUGGGUAAACAACGGGGUGGACCCUCUUUCGUGCGAGAACGCAAGUGGAAAUUAACGGGCCAAGCUGAGCCCACUACUAAUCCAACCCGAAACUUACGCCCGUCGAAAGGGUCUGUCUCUAUAUAUCCUCCACAACGUGCUGAACUCCAAUUUCAGGGCUGCAAUAAAAAUAUUGCUGAUGACAAUAAAUUAACAUGUUAAGAACAGCCGAGACUCCAACUUCACAUGGGAGACAAACCAUCUUGCAAGGGAUUAAUGUCAGUCGAAUUGACUCGGUAGGAAAGGAACUCAUCACCCUUUCUCUUUCUUCAACACCAUUCGCUUGACGGCACUUUCCAGCUUGUGUAACUCUCGCAGAUCGAGAGUAAUAGAUAGAUACGUCUCUAACCUCAGGUCGGUAAAAGGAUGUACAAGAGAAGACUAAAACUUCUCAGGAAAGAAUAAGAGCUUUAGCACAGAGUCAGCUCACUUUGUAACCCAAUGCUUUUUGGAAAGCUUAAUCUUUAUUGCAGAGCGUGUGUUACUGUCACGCGGUCUAAAGAUGCAUGAAAGUGGGUGAGUUGUUGUAAGUGUAAUUGGCAUCAACAAGGAGAACAUGUAUCACGAAGAAAAAGAAUGAGAGCAUAUAAUGGUGGAUGCCACAUUAAAAGACUCGUACUUCUGCCGAGACUUUGGUAAAGCGCAAGCGCAAGAAGCGCACACACACGGCCUGCUUAUGUUGACGAGAGGUAAAGCUCUCUCUCGUGAUGGGUUCCAACACAGCGCUUAAAAGAAAAACUCUCACGGUACUAAGACGCUCCUUGGUACGUCCCGUCCCAUAAAACUCGAGAGGAUGGCCGCAUAAAGGUACCAUCUUGUCCCUCGAGGAUCGAUCAUCACGUCAAAUCCGUGUACGAUCGAUCCUCGUAUAGUAAUAUAAAAACCCCUGACCGGCAUCUGGCCUAGAUGGAGGCAAAACAAACCAACCAAGCACUCACUUACUCAUGGGUCAAAGUCGGCAACCACCCGACGAGGGCCAUCUGUGCAGGAGAGCGACCACCCCCCGAGCUACCAACAUCCCGACGAAGAGCUGCCAACCAAUGUUCCAACUAAGAGCCGCCAACCAGCAUCCCAACGGAGAGUCGUCGACCAGCAUUCUGACCAAGAGCCGCCAACAAGCAUCCCGACCGAGAGACGCCAAUCAACAUUCCGAUGCUAACACCCCGUCUUGAGGGCAUAAUCGACCUCAGCAACCAGCUCAGCCGGUCAAAUGCUCCCGACAUCGACCCGUGGACCAGAUCAUGGUUGAUGACAACCACAUCAGUUCAUCAACAACAAAUUCUAUUAUCAUUACGGUUUAAUUGAUAGUAUUCUUAAGCAGGCUGAAAAAUUUAGGAUUUAAGCACAUCAGUUCAUCAACAACAUGAAUUCUAUUAUCAUUGCAGUUUAAUUGAUAGAAUAGUUAAGCAGACUGAGAAAUUUAGGAUUUAAAAUAUCAUGUAUAUAUAUAUAUAUAUAUAAAUUAAUUUUGUCUAUUAGAAAUAUCAUGUUCAAAACCUACCAGUUCUGGUGUAUUCUAUGCAUGUUUUGUGUCACCCGACCCCACCGGCCACCAGGCAAGUUGAAGCACACUUCCGCCGUCCACGGAAGGGCACAUAGACGUGGAUGUGAACCACCGGCUGCAGGUCGCCCGACAUAUGACCACCGGCUUCAUCGCCUGCAUCUCCAUCCUUCCGUCCUUCCAACUCGAUGUCGUUUCGUCACUCCCUGCGCAAUUGGAUUGAUGAACACCUGUGCCACCUGGUGGACUUCCGUGCACAGGAAGAACAGUGGUCAUCGGUUUGCCAUGACCAAGUCAACAAAGCUCCUCAGCUGUUGCCUUUGAAGAUUCAAAGGUUGACACCAAAAGCUGGACUUACGUAUAUUGGAUCACAUUCCUAUAGUAUUAAUUGAUAUACUUGCCGGAAAAUUACCGGUCUGACUCCGCCAUUUCCUUGCUGACCAACAAACCGCGUGUUCAUCGUAUUAUAUUUCUGUUCAAAGUUCACAGCUUCUUCUUAUUCUCAGUCGUAGACGGGAGAGGAAAGCAUCACGUACUACUCUUCCUCUUCUUCUUCUUCUUCUUCUUCUUCGUUCCUUUGUCUCAACAUCCUACUGUUGCAAAGAUCCAAAAGCAGUUAAUAGAUCUCUCCUCCUCCUCUUCUUCUUUCUAUCCCUUGCUUGCUCUCUGGAAAUGGCCUCCUGCAAAGCAUGGCAUCUCUUCCUAUUCUGCUGUCUUCUCCAACCGUUUCGAUCUUCAGCUUCUCUCUACAACUGGAGUUCUUCGGCGACGCACGGAUCUCCGCUCCCCGGGAUCGAAUUGCCUACCCACUUGAGCUUCAACGCCGUCACCUCCGCCGGGGAGUCCGGCUGUGACGACCACCUUGACGCGGCCGGCGGAUCGCCCAACAAAGAUGAGCAAGGAUUAUUGUACGAUAACAUGGAUCAGGGAGGGGUGGAAGACAACGCAAGCGCCAAGGAUGGGGCGGCGCCGGCCUUGAGGCUCCACCUCAAGCACCGGUCUACAAGGGAUGGGGCGGCGCCGAACAGGACCAAGAAGGAAUCCUUGGAGCACUCCGCCAAUAAAGACGCCCUUAGAAUCGGGACCCUCUUCCGGCGGAUCACCGAACGGAAGAACCAAAACGCCAUCUCCCGCCUCGCCGCCGAUGCUGAUCACCGCGCGGUCGUCGCCGAGAUGGGACGAAAGACGGCAAUCGCGACGCACCCGAAACAGGGCGGGCAGCUGAUGGCCAUGGUCGAGUCCGGAGUCACCCUGGGAUCCGGCGAGUACUUCAUCGACGUCUUCGUCGGUACGCCGCCGCGCCACUUUCCCCUCAUCCUCGACACCGGAAGCGACUUGAAUUGGAUCCAGUGCCUCCCCUGCCACGACUGCUUCGAGCAGCACGGCCCGGUCUACGACCCCGCCGCCUCCUCUUCCUACCGCAACGUCAGCUGCGCCGACCCCCGCUGCGGCCUCGUCUCGUCGCCCAACCCGCCCCAGCCCUGUCGCUCCGCCGCCGCUAAUGGCGGCCGCGACCAACCCUGCCCCUACUUCUACUGGUACGGCGACAGCUCCAACACCACCGGAGACCUCGCGCUCGAGACCUUCACCAUGAACCUCACGGCCCCGGACGGCGCCGGCGCCGAGUUCCGCCGCGUGGACGACGUCAUCUUCGGGUGCGGCCACUGGAACCGCGGGCUCUUCCACGGAGCCGCCGGGCUCCUGGGCCUCGGCCGGGGGCCGCUCUCCUUCUCCUCCCAACUCCGCUCGCUCUACGGCCACACCUUCUCCUACUGCCUCGUCGACCGCAACAGCGACCUCAGCGUCAGCAGCAAGCUCAUCUUCGGCGAGGACCCGAGCUUGCUCGGCCGCCCGGGCUUGAACUACACCUCCUUCGUCACCGGGAAGGAGAACCUCGUUGACACCUUCUACUACGUCCAGAUUAAAGCAAUCCUCGUCGGCGGCGAGGCACUGCAGAUACCACCGGCGACAUGGGAGCUGGCGAAGGACGGCAGCGGCGGGACCAUCAUCGAUUCCGGCACCAUACUGAGCUACGUCGCCGACCCGGCGUAUCAGAAGAUUAGAGAAGCCAUCGUCAAGAGGGUAAAGUACCCGAUGGUGGCAGACUUCCCGGUGCUGAAUCCUUGCUACAAUGUAUCCGGAGUACCCAAGGUGGAGCUGCCGGAAUUCGCGAUCUUGUUCGGAGACGGCGCGAUGUGGAACUUCCCGAAGGAGAACUACUUCAUCCGGCUGGAUCCGGAGGACAUCAUGUGCCUCGCCAUCCUGCCGACGCCGCAGCGGGGGAUCUCCAUCCUGGGCAAUAACCAGCAGCAGAACUUCCACAUCACGUACGACUUGAAGAAUUCCCGGCUGGGAUUCGCGCCGGCGAGGUGCGCCGAGUUGUAGAGAGAGAACUCAGAUCACAUAGUCUUGGAGUAGACAUUUUGUCGGAAGGUAGACACGAAAGUGUUGGCUCCAAGAAGAGCUGAAGAGCUCAAUAGACCAACAACCGAUUCAUUUCUUCUUUCCUAUUCCCAUCUUCUUUUUCUUCUUCUUACAUACACACAUACAUACUUUUGGUCUGUAAGAAUAAGUCUGCAAUUAGCUCGCCAUAAAGUUAAGAAAGGAAAUCCAAAGCUCUGUUGUUCUUUUGCUUUGUCGAGUAGAUAUUUCCUCAAACUGCUUGUCCUGGAUUCGUCCUUCCAUUCCUUCUCGUAGGAACAGAGAGAAGGAAGAAUGAUCGGGUAAGCGAGCAGGGAAGAGAACACAGCAGCAAUCACAGUGAACCAUCACAAGAAGAAGUGACUUCAUUUGUACGAGUAUCGCAAUUCCAUGCCUUUGAUCAUCCCAUAGCUGAUUUUUUGAUGCGUGUAUCACAUGUGACAGUCAACAUCCUGCGGCUAUUCCUCGUUCCUGUGUUUGACCAUCGAUUGCUGUACCUGUUGAUCUUUCCUUUCCUCGCUCGCCGAUACACCGAGCACGAGAGAUGCGAAUUGUCGUCCUCAUCUGUUGCACAUGUUAGGCAACGCGAGCAUUAAUUUCCACCAUCGACGACACUGCGCGUCUCCCCUUUUCCUCCGACUACUUGAUGUUGCAACCAUCACCGCUUACUCCACCAUGUACAUUAUAGUACACAUUAACUUUGCUCUCUGUUUUGGAGCAGCAGCACAUAUCGACUCCAUGAGGUGUUCGAGCAGAUUAGGUCGAGUGACAUAAUUCGGAGCACCUAUUUCGUAAACAUGUACACUUUAUCGUGCAUGCUGCUCCUGCAGGCAAUCUCGUGAAGGGAUGACUGACUUGAAUGCUUCAGUUCGUAGCUCAAGAUUAGAUCUUUUUUUGGCUGCACGCCUACCAAAUGACUCGAAGAAGAUAAUGUUUAGAUUUGCAAAGUGCCCACCGGUGAGACUUUUGCUCAAACACUUAUCCGAUUCCUGUUGUAGUCAACUGCAGUGAGCAGCGGACAGGAGUGGAGCUGAUCUGUGAGCCAUGACGGCAUUAAAUAGACAUACAUCCGUCACUACCAGAAGAGAUUCCAAAAGGCAGACAACAGUCUUUGGUUUGGUAUGGUAAUGGAUCAGUUCAUCGAAAAAGGAAGAGAAGAGGAGAGGUGGAGUACAAAAGCAAACCAUGCACGAUUUCAGUAGAUUGGGCAUUGGUUUGCCCCACAUCACAGCAAUUCGUAAGGAGCAAAUAAGCAUCCAACAAGCACCGCUCGCCAUGCUCAGAAAGAUCGAGCAAAGCAUGGCUUUGCUGUGCCAUUGCCAAUCAUAGAAACAUAAACUGGAACUCGAUCGUCUUCUCCGUCGCCUCAAGAAUGGGAGGGAUCGCGUUCAGUUGUCGAGGUGCUUCAUCCCCAGCUUCUUGACUUCCACUUUGAGAGAUUUCAGGUACUUGACGGCCUCGUCGAGGACGGCAGGAGUGUCCAUGCGAUCGCCACCGGGGAUGAUGCCCUUGAGUGUCUUCACCAUCUUCUUCAUCUUCUCCCUUUUGCCGCUGCUACUGCCGGCGGUCCCGGAGACUUGCUUCCUGGAAGAAGCGGACUUCGAGUGCGAGGAGCAGGCGGUGUCCGGGGAAUGGCCUGCCCAGCUGCCGGGCGUCCUCCCCGUGCUCACCACGUCGUCGUCUUCGCCUUCUUCCGAACUCAGCAACGCGUCGAUGUCCUCCGUCUCUUCGUCGUGAUCCCUGUGCGCACUUUGGCCGGCGUCGUGAGCGUGAGUUCCGUAGGCGUCGAAGCCGGGAGAGCCGAACUUGUGCGCCAGCGAAGGGUGGAACAUGACCCGGCUCCUGUGACGUGUCUGGUCAAAGAUGACAAAGUUUUUGGGGCAUGUCUCCGACGGCUGGAACUCGAUAUUGUUGAGCGGGGCAGGGAAAUCACGGUGCUCGUGCCCUGCAACAGGGGCGCCGCCGUAAGGGUAGUAAGCGCCUGCGCCGGAGUCGAAGCCGUAGCCGUCCUCAAGUGGAGCUUUUCCGGCUAAGUAUCUCGGGUUCCUCUGCAUGGUGCUGUCGCUUGUGGGAGAAAUCUGGUGAAAGUGAGCAGAGGAUGGCGAGAGCAAGCAACACGAUCUCCCGAGCAGAGUUUCCUGUUCGAUGCCAACUUCGAGGAAGGAAAGACAGCUUAGCUAUGGAGUGUCUCUUCUAUUGAAUAGCUCUUCUUCUGUGACAGAGGAAGAAGGAAGAGAACAGAUCGACUUGCUCUCAACCUACGUGACAGGCUUGAGCAACUGGCGGAAGUACUCAGCCUGCAACCAGAGGACAACCAGUAAGAGUAAUUCAAACACAGAGAAGAGAAUCAAACAUGUUCUUCAAGUAUUUUUUGACACAGUAACUAUGGAAUUACCUGACAAACCUGCAACAAUUGAGAAUAAGCAAUGAUCCUGACACUCAUUAUGAUCUCUCCAGCCUUCUCCAAUGUUCGGUAUCUCUUCAGAUUUGCCUCAAUGUGCAUUCUCAAUUUCUUCACACAGGUUGCGACCAAACCACCCGACAGCUAACAAAGAUUCCAACUCACCUGCCAUUAAUUCACCGAAUAAACACGAAAUCGAACGCACUUCAAGAGAGAGUUGCGGUGGAAAACAGAGAGGGCGAUUUACACUAUGACACGAAAGAAGACGACCAAGCGAACGCGCUUCAGGUAGAAGUCAGCAGCCAUCGACGCCCACGGCAUGCUUACCGGUCUGAUCUCGGUUCCCGCAGUCCUGCAAACGAAGGAUUCAAAGCUGAAACGAUCGAAUUCAACAGCCGUCGACCCGCGAAGCAGAAGAUAAAGCAGAGGGAGCAGAAACAAACGAAGUCGUGCACCAAAGCUCAAACGAUAAACACAUGGCUGCUGGUGCAAGAGAGAAGAUAUAGAGGGGACCUACGGAGGUGGUGGCUCCUGCACGGGCUGAUGCAACGCGAGAGGAGUCAGCUGAGAUUUCAAGUACAAGAAGCUGGAGCAGCGACAGGGGAGGGAGUUGGACGGCCUACGAGGCCUAUGGGAUACGGUGGGAGGCUGAGACUGUGAAGCCACCUUGCCCCUCCCUCCCUCGCCUCCUAUAUAUCUACGUCUUCCGGUGUCUCUUUCCUCCGAGGUAGGUAAUGAUGGGAGCUUCCAAAGCGGAGAUCUCUUUCCUGCGCUUUCAUUAAAAUUGAGGCAGAGCAAUUAAUGUGGCGUGGAGGCAGGCAAACGGGGGUGGAUGUGCGUCUGUGCGCGCGAACGCGCGCGAGCUUCGACUUGAUUGCGCGUGACGCUCCUCCAUCCAACACGACAGCCUGCCUCCCUGCCCCAACCAUUUAAAGUCGACACCUUUUUGCCCCCACCCUUGGGUCUCGCUGCUGCUCCUUCCACGCCUGUCGUCGGAUCAUCGGAGACGGAACAGGCAGCCGUCGGAUGGCGGGCGUCGCCCCCGGGGGCCCGCUCGGGGACUCCGGAGGGGACACAGGGAGAGGGAGAUAGAUGGUGGCGAUCACUAUUUGUUACCACGGUGUUCGGGUUCAUGUGCUGGUGUCGGGGGCAGUGGAGGGGGGAAGGUCAUCAUCAUUUGGGUGCGGUGUUGUCAUCAUAAUGUCUGCAGUGGAUGGAGAGAGAGACUGUGUGUGUGUGUGUGUGGUGGGGNNNNNNNNNNNNNNNNNNNNAGGUGGACGAGGAGGAGACCGGGGGAAGGGGGGGACAGCGAGGCCUACGGAGCACGCGUGGGCAGUCGCACCUGCGGUGAACCACCGAGCUCGAGGCCUACGAGAUGGGCUUCUGCCGCUGUCGUCGCUGGCCGUAAUCGAUGUCGCGGUUCCCCAGCAUGAUCUCCUCGCCUCGCCUCUUAUGAUGACAGGUGCUCCAUUGCUUAUGCUCUUCGGAGAUCGUAUUGCCCGACCACCAAAACGAACCCCCGCCAAUUUACCACCCUGCUGUGCGACUCUCUCUCUCUCUCGCGGGCAUGACUGUGUGGUGGGGGCCGACAGGUGCAGGAGUCAGCGUGACCUCAGCUAAGGGCCCCGCAGGUGUAAGCGGCGCGUACGAUUAGGGGGUCCCUGGAACGGAUAUGUGACACGCCCACUCAGAUUCCUUGCUCAUACUUGCUGGAUUGCAAAAUGGGCUGUAAUGGGCCUCUGGAAGCCCGGCCCAAAAUAGAGGGCUACUUGCUUGAAUUGUGCAUGAAAUUACGAUCGACUUGUCUCAUAUAAGACAUAAAUCAACCUCAGGAAAUAAACCAUAUCCAUGUCACGAAGGUCACAAUAAGUUAAACAGAAAAAGGACACUUCAUGUCCCAACCAAAGCUCAAAGUAGAACACUGUCUCAUUAGGGGGGGGCUUUCUGUCGGUGAACACCGAGAGAUGACGAAACGUCAAAUCGUACUUAGCCGACCAUGGUGCUGUCGUACAAAAAUAGUUGCCAUUAGCAACCUACUCAAGCCUUUCUGCAGCAGAACGCCUCAUACCAUCUAAACGGCAGCAGCAGGGCAACGAGACGACAUUCUGUAUCAGUGUCUGCUAAAAGAUCUGCAACACUUUUUGUGAUGGCAUUCAAUAUGGAGGAGUGGAUUCAGGUGAACGCGGAAUGCACUUGUUGUGGGCGUGCAUUGUAUCAUGUGCCGCCGGGGAGAAGCGAAGACAUAUAUAUGGCAUGUAAUUAUAUAUAACUCUUUUCCUACAUUCCAAAUAAUUUUCUACAAAACACACAUUAAUUUGCUUUAAAUUUGGAGAUGCGGGGAAUCGAACCCCGUGCCUCUCGCAUGCAAAGCGAGCGCUCUACCAUAUGAGCUACAUCUCCAAUGACACUUUCUUGAGAUACAAAUUAAUCUGAAGGUGGGAUCGACUCGGAUGCGGAUGCGUAUUCCGUGUGGUCUUAUUUGGCUAGCCGACGACCCGUUAAGCGGAGGUUGCGUGGCAGGAAUUGGCGGCUCCGAGUGGAUACUUAUCCGGAUAAACUUAAAAUUAAAUUAGAGACAAACCCGAUGGGCCCCACAGCGCCUCUGAGACAAAAACGCAUCCCAAACUGUUUCAGAAGCUGUACGAUGAUGUGUUGGUUCCACAGCGACUCUCUUCAGUGCUCAUUUUUCGUGGUUGACCCUCUCAUGUACAGAUCUCGUCAUUUUUACUUCCACGUGAGCGCCAGGUUGGAUCGUCGCCAUUCGAAUCCAUCAAUUAUUGACACCGUGGUUGACUUGAUCACACACACACGACAAUGCCGUAUAGGGAACGGCGAUCCGAACCAACACGCAAGCGGAUCAGGACCAUCCGAAAGCCGACACGCGUCCCUUACGCCCUCUCCCAUACGGGCCAUGGUUCGGCCCAUUCGAACCUCGUGCGCCCCAGCCACCUUGCUAACCAUAAAAUAAUCCCAUACGGUGUUUGCGCGUCACACUGUUCCCAACCACCUCAGCCUUAUUAAUUGAGAGGAUUACACUAAUCAACUCUACCGUCAACAACCAAUAGCUAUUAUUAUUAUUAUUAUUAUUAUUAUUAUUAUCAUUAGAAUUAGAUUCCUGUCGUACUGCAUCAGCUACAGGUCAUGUGUUAUAUCGAAGGGAAACGACCACCCAACUCAUCGAUCCUAUGCAUGUAGUAUUAUCGUGAUGUAAGGUGAAAUGGCAGUAUGAGAGAGAGACGAGGAACGAGAAGGGACAAGCUAAGUAACAGGUUUGGUGGGGGGAGGGGAGAGGGGUGCGUGUCAACGGACGCCAAGUCCAUUAAAAUACGGUUGAAUCACGGCGCACAAACCCAAUAAGACUCUCUCUCUCUCUCGCUCUCUCCAUCAUUUGCUCCUGCGAUCAUCGCUUUCGCUUUCUGGUUUCCUUGUGCGGAAGGGAGGGAGAGGAGACGCACCUCGGCCGCAAUAAUAGAGGCAGCGGAGCUGGGUCGUGGAUUUUGUUCUCGAUUUCGGCCGAUUAGGGCGGAUCUUUUUGGGUGCCAUCGCAGUGGUUUUGCUGGGAAUUUGGGUCGGAAUCGGCGGAAGUGCGCUCCAGGCUUUCGUCUACGUGCCGAGGGAAUUUUGGGUGUUACCGAUGCGAAUUCUGAGUUGUUCCGUCGCCUGGUAAGGGGUUCCGCUCUUUCUAUUGGACUAGUUGGACCUUCUGUUGGCUAGGAUGUGAGAGAUAGGUGGAUUUGGGGAUUAUUAGGGUUCUUAUCCUUUGCGAUUUGGAGAAGAUGUGCCGAAAGACAAUAGGAUUCUGUUUUAAUUCGAAUCCCCCUUUCAGCUCUUCUGGAUUCUUAGCUGGAUUCUGCCUAUUUGCUGAUUGAAUAAGAUUGCACUAUCAUUUAUGAGUCGAUGCUUUUGAUAGACUAUUGGUGCACUAGUCUUCCUUGUUGUCAUUUUUUAUUGUCAAUGCUGCUGACGGGGUUUUGGAAUUCAAUUGUGUGGUUCAUGGCUUCACGAAGUUAAAAGAAAUAAUUUCAGCGUGGAUUUAUGAUAUCAAUCAUGGUGUUACACAUGUCAAUUGAUGUUCUGAAGAAUUCUUAUGUUGGAACGAUCUUAUAAACCUUCUAUGAACAAACCAUGAAAUGUCCAUACGUUGAAUUGAAACCAUGAAAUAUCUACAUGGAGUUUGUUUAUCAUGGUCCUCUAAUAGUGCCUUUUUCCCGUCGAGAAAUAUGUAGUAUACAAAGUGUGUAGCAUCUCUCUCUCUCUCUCUCUGCGUGUGUGAAACCUUUGCUUUUGAAUUCUCUCUCUUACCAGCUGUCUUUCUUCAUGGCAAUUGUAGAGAAAUUAUCAAUGGAGCAAACUUCGGAAAAUUCAGCUCGUUUAGGUAAGUAGAAAUGAAAUCAUGCUUUUUCAACAGUAGCAGAACAAAACUGAUCAUACACUUUUGAUCUUUUGCAUAGUUUCCUCAAAUUUUCUAUCAGUGAAGACUCCAACGAAGGCAGAAAAUGCGUGGGACAUUCCAUCUGGAUCCAAUGCGCUCUGUGGAUCAAGUGAUGUUAGCCUUUUCUCAAGCUCAUUACCAGUACUUCGUCAUGAAAAAUGUAUGCUGUUCCUUUUAAUGGUUACUGACUUUCGGCUAUAUCAUUCAAAUCAACUCUAUUAAUGCUAUGUUAUUCAGCGAAUUUUGCAGAUUCACACAUCGGUGCUCAAUGGACUUUUGAUGCAUCUUCCAAACUGGAAAAGGGAAACAAUGACGCCGAGAGUAAGGUUUGUGUGGAUGAUCUGGACCUCCAUGGGACUGGGAUCCUGUUACCUGAUGAUGAAGAAGCCCUUUUGUCUGGCAUAUUGGAUGAUUUCGACCUUAAUGGGUUGCCUAGUCAAGUUGAUGAACUUGAAGACUAUGAUCUUUUUGGCAGUGUUGGGGGCAUGGAAAUGGAUUCUGAUCCUAUAGAAAGCAUUACGGUUGGUAUUGCAAAGGCAAACAUCUCUGAUGGCUUUUUAGGCAAUGGAAUUAGUCAGUAUGGUCUUCCUAAUGGUGUUGGGACUAUUUCCGGGGAACACCCAUAUGGAGAGCAUCCUUCAAGAACUCUAUUUGUGCGUAACAUCAACAGUAAUGUUGAAGACUCUGAAUUGAGGUCGCUCUUUGAGGUAAGUGUUUGUAAUUCUGUUGCAUAACUUUCUGCUUUCAAUCUGCUUCAGCUUAUAUGUAGCUUAAUUUGUAGUUGCAAGUAUUGCUAAUUUUCAUGUAGUGAAUUCUGUGCAAAAACUGUGAAAAUGGUUCCUUCUCCUGGUUUAUGUCUUGUUAAUUUAAGUUCCCAAUUGUUCUAAUGUUACUAAUAUAGAAGCAAUUUUUAGAAAGAUUAGAUUACCUAUUCUCUGUUGUCAUAUGCAAAGCGUUGUAAAAUUUUAGAAUUGGUGUUGAAGGAUUAUCUUUUUCUAUGAGUUAAUAACAAUGUGGAACUACUUUUGUUUGGUAUAUCUUUUAAAGCUAAUAACAAUGUUGAACUACUUGUAUUGGUGUCGGAAGUAUUGCUAACUUAUUUUCGUUAUAUAUUUUGUUAUGUGGAACCACUAAGUUUAUAAAAUAAGUUAUUUUCUUUCUGUUAUGAAAACGUUAUAUAGGAAUGUUGGUUGUUGGUUUUCUCUAUUCAUCUCAUGUUUGUUUAUCAAUAAAAAAAAAUGCUGCAACAUGGUGAAUCCUUUAAAUAUUGUCCCUUGUGGUACUAGUGCAUGCUACAUCUUGGUCUAUUAAGCAAAUAUACCAAGUGCUACUUUCAACAUUUAGUGUGAUGUGGCAUACCUACUGAUAUAAUUUGUUUCCAAAUCAUCAUCUUCAGCAAUACUAUCAUGUUCAAGCUUUUUGUCAUUGCAGCUGGAUUGUUUAAAGAGCACAACUUGGGAGAUCAAUAAAGCCCUAGAUGACAAAUUUGUGACCUGCUGCUAACCUAAUAUUAACCCUAGAGAGGCAACCUAAUGCACAAGGCUAUCCGGAGCUUGGGCGGGGUUAGUGUACUAUCCCUGCUAGCAAAGAGGCUAUUCUGUGACUGCAAUCCUAGUCACCCAGGAUGCAGAGUAACUUUAUUAUGACAUGAAAUCUUGCUAUCAACCUAAAUGUAAAAGUCAAGUUCAUAGCCAUGGCAAAUAAAGACAGAGAUGACUUGUCAUACAAUGUAGGUAGGAGGAGUGAUAUAAAAUAGCCUUUCGAGAAAACCAGUUAAACUGAUGUGCGAGUUUUUUUAAUUAUUGAUCUGAAAUAACUUCUUAUAGAAACCCCUUUUUCAUUUAGCGAUUGAUAUGCUGCAAUGGUUAGACUAUUAUGUGCUAGCUUUUUACUGUUUAGCUGAAGAUUACAUAGAACGUGCUAUCUAUUGUCAAGUUUCAUGCAUAAUGCUAAUAAUUUGUCUGAUUUUGUCAACAUGCUAGUUUAUUGCCUUCUUAUGAAAUCUUCUAAAUUGUAAUUUUCUUAUUGCUCAUUCCUAUUCCAGAACUUUGUUUCUUGACUUUCUCUCUCUUGACAUUUAUUUGUUGCUUCAUGUUUUUAGCAAUUUGGGGACAUCCGAAGUCUUUAUACGGCAUGCAAACACAGGGGAUUUGUGAUGAUAUCUUACUAUGAUAUACGAUCUGCUCGAUCUGCCAUGCGUGCAUUACAGAACAAGCCCUUAAGACGGAGAAAGCUUGACAUACAUUUUUCAAUUCCAAAGGUCUCAAUAUGGAUUUUUUUCUUUUUUUUUUAUGGAGAAUCUGUAACCUAUUUUACUCUCUAUUACUUGGUCAUUAUCUGUUCUAGUAAUUUUCAGGAUAACCCAACAGACAAAGAUAUGAAUCAAGGAACUCUCGUGAUAUUUAAUUUGGAUCCUUCCGUUUCUAAUGAGGACCUUAGGAAAAUAUUUGGUGCCUAUGGGGAAGUUAAAGAGGUGAGAAGUUUUAUUUAUAUUUGUUAAUCCCAGAGAUCGUUUUUCACAUAAGGUUACCAGUCACCUGAGGCUAAUGCAAAGGUGUCGGUUUUUUACUGUUUGAAGCAGAUAAGAGAGACUCCUCAUAAGCGGCACCACAAAUUUAUUGAGUUUUAUGAUGUCAGAGCAGCAGAAGCUGCCCUGCGGUCAUUGAACAAGAGUGACAUAGCUGGGAAGCGAAUAAAGCUAGAACCAAGCCGCCCUGGUGGAGCUCGCAGGAAGUAUGUACAUUGAUUUUAGUGUUUGCAUAUAUCUCAUUCUUGGAGAGAAGUGCUAUACAAGAUCUGUAGAUUUUUUUUUCCACUCUAAUUUGCACUAUUACAUUAAAUUUGCAUAUAUUUCAUUCUUGGAUGGUUUAUUGUUUUCUUAUUGUCAUGGGUAGCUUUUUCCAUAAACUCUUUUUGGAAUUAUUUAGUACUGAAGUGCUAAAAGCUCAAUCUUUUAAACAGCUUAAUGCAACAAUUGACUCAUGAGCUAGAACACGAUGAGACCAGAGUUUAUCGGCACCACGGGGGAUCACCUAUCGCCAAUUCACCACCAGGUAUACUUGGGUAACACGCACCUAAAUUCAUGUGUAUCUUUGUGUGUAUAUUGUCUUAUACAAGUGUUCAUCUUUGCCUUUUCUUUUCAACUCUUAACACCAUAUUUUACAUUUGCCAUAUUUUGUGAUUUGAACUGGGUGCCUCUCGAAUGGCAGGUCUAUGGGCACAAUUCAGUAGUCCAAAUGACAACAGUCCACUACAAGUUCUUAGCAAGUCCCCUAGUGGGGGAGCAAUGAGCCCCAUUAAAAAUAAUCAUUUGCCUGGACUAGCUUCUGUACUUCCUCCAAUUGUAUCAACUUCCACUAAGAUUGCACCAAUCGGAAAGGACCAAAAUAGGGCCAGCCAUGCUGAUCAGGUAAUUUCUGGUGGGAGUCCGAUACAUGGAAGUGGAUAUCAGCAAUCUCAUUCCUUCCCAGAUCAUGGUCAUGGAUUGGUGACCCCAACUCUAGGAAAUUUAACUUCUUUUGGUCCUUCUACAUCGAAUGCAUCUGGAGUUGGAACUCUAACUGGCCCACAGUUUCUCUGGGGUAGCUCGGCUUCUUACACAGAUAAUAUGCAGUCUUCUGCUUGGCAGUCUAGGGCUACAGGAAAUUCAUUCAUGUCAAAUGGACAAGGGCAAGGGCAAAACUUUCUCUAUUCAGGCCAUCAUGGCUCGUUCACUGGGUCAUCACACAGUCAGCAUCACCAUCCUGUUGGAUCAGCUCCAUCUGUUGUUCCUUUCGAGAGGCAGUAUGGAUAUUUUCCCGAGUCACCAGAGACAUCCUUCAUGAACCAAGUUGCAUUUGGAAAUACUGGGAUUAACCGGAAUGGUGGCAGUUUACUUAUGAACACGACUCCUCAGGCCACUAUGAAUCAAGGCAUAAUGUCAGGAAACAUGCCAGAUAAUAGUUCACCCAAUAUGAGAAUGAUGCCUCCUCAGAGAUUUGGACCUGUGCUCUUUCGCAGUCCUCCUUAUUCUGGCCUAAGUUCCAUCGGCAUUGAUGGUCUAGUUGAUCGGAACCGCAGUCGGCGAGUUGACAACCAUGGUGGUCAAGUAGACAAGAGGCUGUAUCAGCUUGACUUGGACAAAAUAAUUAAGGGGGAAGACACUCGAACAACGAUAAUGAUAAAAAACAUUCCAAAUAAGUAUAUCUUUGGAAAAAUUAUCAAAUAUCAUGAUUCUUUGCCAAUUAUAUGGGAUCAUAAACCUAAUCUGGUUUUUACUUGCUUUCCAGGUACACCUCGAAGAUGCUUUUAGCUGCAAUAGAUGAAACUCACAAAGGCACGUACGACUUUUUGUACUUGCCAAUAGAUUUUAAGGUAAUUUGCUCAAAAUUCAAACAAUGGUGGUUUCAUAAUAGUAUCUUAAGCUAAAUCAAAAUUUGAUUUUAUCUGUGCAGAAUAAAUGCAAUGUGGGUUAUGCAUUUAUAAACGUGGUGUCUCCUGCACACAUAAUAUCCUUUUAUGAGGUUUGGUUUUGUUUUGUUUCCCUACUUGCUGAUUCAGUUCUUGUUAGGUCUACUUUCUGAAAUGUUUAUGAUUGGGAGACAGAAGUUUUGAAGUGUAAACUAGGCCAACCAAAUAACAAAACCAUGUAAACUUGGGAAGCUUUGCUAAACCCCUUUUAUACACUUAACAGGCAUUCCAUGGGAAGAAAUGGGAGAAGUUUAACAGUGAGAAGGUUGCCUCUCUGGCAUAUGCAAGAAUCCAGGGUAGAGCUGCACUUGUUGCCCACUUCCAGAACUCUAGCUUGAUGAAUGAAGAUAAGAGAUGCCGCCCCAUUCUUUUUUAUUCUGAGGGAGCGGAGGCUGGUUAUCAGGUAAAAGAUCAAUAAGUUUCUGGGAAUCUUAUGAAGUAGCUUAGUAUACUGGAUGUAUAUAAGCUGCAUUGAAUUGAUUGAUAAGCAAAUUUGUUAAAGCUACCAGAGAAUGUCCGAUGUCGUUAAUUAAUAAAUUCACAUGUUCAGCUUAUGCGUGUUAGGGUUCACCAGGAUCUAACUAAUGAUUAGAUGUCCUGGACGGUGCAUUGAAUAUGAAGGAGCUUUUUUUUUGUCUUUUUCUGAUAGUCAAUAUUGUGUUGAAUGCUUGAUGUUAGUAUGAUUGAUGUUACUAGACACAUGCUACGGCCAAAAUUUAGUCCUUUGCUUUUGGUCGCAUAUAAGCUGUUUGUGCAAGAGCUGUUGAGGUAUAACUGCAUACAUAUUCAUGCAGGUAGUCAUGCAAAAAAAUUGUUUAACUCGCUUCGGUGACUGUUUUGUGACUUUCUCUAUUGUUUCCUUAUUCCAUAAAAACUCGGUUAGUGGCUGAAAUUACCAAAUAAAUAAAAUAGUAUUCGAUGACUGAAUAUUAUUAAAUCUUUGUUUAUAUCCCUUGAGCCAAGGGUUGAUUUUCUGGUGUCUAUAAAGAAAUGAUUCCUCUUACGGACAUGACUGUUAGUGUUAAUCGUGUUCAUUUGGAUCUAUAUGUUGGUAAAACUUAUUUUUCAUCCUUUUCUGACAUGUGCUUUUGCGGUUUCGUAUGUCAAGUUUUCGCUGUCCUAGAUCAUGACGAAGUCAAAGAUAAAAUGUGGUUACUCCGUUUCUUGCAGAUUUACUAUGUUGAUCAACCUUUAGGAUUUGUUUCCCAUUUAAUGGAUACGAUUGCUAAUAGAUGAGAAGGUUUUGCAGGAACUCUUUUCAUCAAGUCAUGUGGAUGUGCAUCAAGAAGAUAUGACUGAAUCAGUGGGCGACUCACCUGAAGGUCCACGAGGAAGCAGUAAUGGGCUGCCAGAGAACACCAACGUACCUGGAACUAGCUUGGAAGGGUAGCAGUUCCUUACAGCAACCACGUAUUUGUGAAUACUAACUCUCCAUAGGUAUUCUAAGUGUAAAAUACGGUGAGGGGGGGGUGGGUUUGGCAAGGAAACUGCGUGCAAUUGUAUUCAAGGGUGUGUCCACUUUUGCAGCCACGGAUGCACCAAAGCAUCAUCAGUGCCAUUAAUCGAAACAGGGAUAUAAGUCCCUGUUCCUUCUUUUGUACAGAUAGGAAGAUCCUGACGUCAAGAAAUAAAGGUUGAAGUGUAUAGGUUUGAUCACGGUCAGUCUGCUGGUAAGCACAUUGCUAACUGGUGGUGCAUGGUUUCAUCUUUUUCCUUUUAGGCACAUGGUUUUAAUGGAUGUCUUUUGAACUUUGUAUUAUUGUACAUAAUGGGACUUAAUUUAGUGCACUUAAUUUUCAUUACUGUGGCAGUUAAUUUGAGUUUGUUGAAUGUGUUUAGUGCACGUGGACUGUUCAUCUGACCAUUUAGUUUCUUCUUUAUACGUUUUGCAUUCGGACAAUUGCUGUUUAUUUAUAAGUUGGGUGCGUAAUGUUAUCAAUGGCGUGAAGUCCAGAAGUCGCUGAGUUUUAAUUCAGUCUGGCGUCAUGAACAGGCUGAUCAGAUGACUGCACCGGCGUUGCCGAGAAGCUGUUCGACGAAUUGAUCCAACGGAGACAGUCAUGUUAGGUACGACGUCACGUGGUGGUGCUUACUCUGGUUGGACGAUUGGACGCUGUCGGGCCACUCGUCCUCUGACGCCUUGAGCGCCACAUGGUUGGGCAGUAAUUACACUUGGCGUCGCAGCUCUGCAGCCACCAAGCAUUUAUUCUUCUUACGCUUUUCUAUGGCCAUUAGCCAUCCCAUACAACUCGGACAGCCCCAUGGAUAAGGCCCUAUUGACCACUAUAAAGAAAGGUGAGAAAUCACCCGAAAGCGAGUGGUUUAUCUCUUUUAUCUUGGAGUAGCUCGGUUUAGAGUUGAUGGACUGCAGUGUCUUCCUGUUUAUGAUGCGAGGACACACGUUUCCUCUCUCUUUAAUGAUUCGAGCUAAGUUUCAGCCACAGCCCUCUCUCAGUUGUUAUUUGAGCGAAGAGCAGCUCAAUCACAUUCUUCGGUGCUUUCCAUGAUGGAUGAGCCUCUCCUUCCCACCUCCGCCCCCAAAACUGCCCCUCCUGCAACCACGGCCUCCUAUCCCAGCUUCCUCCGGCGUCUCCGCAUCUUCCUUGUCCUCGCCGCCUGCGCCCUGUGGGCAAAUUACGAGGCCUCCAAGGGCUUCGACAUCACCGUCCUCCACGGCGCCUCGCGCAGCCCCGCCGCCCGCCGAUUCGGCCUGCUAUUCGUCUCCAACGGCCGAGCCGCCAGGCUCGUCCUCAGCUCCAGUGAUCUCGUUCAGCGCGUCCUCUACCCGGAUGAUUCGUUCCCUCGGAAGCCAGUGCGCCGGAUAACGCUUUUCUUGGCCGACGAAAACCUCAACGAGACCGUCGUGGUCAGCCACGGCCGCCACCCAGGCGAGUUCGUAGUCCAGAUGAGCCCGGCCGUCAUGAAGGCGACGGACGUGCAGAUGUCGGUGGCUUCCGCGCUGCAACGGGGCGUGGCUCGCGUCUGGCUCUGGGACGGGCGAGGCCAGGCGCCGAGACCGCUUCUUGACGCCAUGGUAGAGUACCUCACCACGCAGAACAACGCCAGUGCUACACUCCGCACCAAUUCCUGCUGCGCGGCGGGGGAGCAGCUGCGCGUAGCGCGCGUGAAUCGAGCCAUGCAGGAGGAGUGGGACGAUCGGAUGCUGGAGGAUGUAUGCGGCUCGCCUUCCGAAAAGGUCUGCUCGGCCUGCCUACCUCUUAUCGACCUCAGUACGUUCGCAAGGAACGUAGAUCCUGAUCAAGAUCCACAGACAUGAGCUUAUGAGUUAGUGUUAGCAGUGACAAUGGCCGAAUAAUUGAGGGGAAGCAGUAGUCAAUGCAUGACGCAGAAGCAAGUGGAGCCGACCGCUGAGCUACGAUCUAUGCAAGAUUAGGACUGCAUCUUGUACUACUUUUCUGUGAUCCUACAAUGGAUUCAGUCAGUACCAUGUCAUGCUUUGAAUCAGCGAAUGCAAGUAAUAGAUUAUGCAAUUAAUAGCCUAAUCAGUGAAUGCUGGAGGAUGCACACUUAGUUUCAUGUGGUUAGCGUCCAUUGCACUGCUCAAAAUGACCCAAUCGUACACAGUAAAACUUGCAUGGUGGAAAAGCUUCAGCUGCUCGAUGAAUGACGAGGACGGUUCUCAUUCUCUUUCAAGCAAACUGCUACUAGAUGUUGUGGCUCAAUGAGCUCCAUUGCCUCGUAGAUAGUUCUUGUGCAUGAGCGACAGGUCUCAUCAAUCAUGUAAUUAACAUGGAUGGGUCCCAAACUUGUCUGGUGUUUUGGGUCUCUUGCUGUUGACCGUAGCGUAGCAACACCAGAUUCCGGCGAGUAGAGCCACACGCAAAAAGCUUUCCCCUUUCUAAUUUGCAUGAGGAAUUCAAUACGUAAUAUCGACAUUACAGGAAUAGAAGACCGAGUUGUACAGGGAAUUCAAUACGAAGAGGACUUUUCCUAAGUACCAAAGGAAGACGAACAAUAGGAAUAGAUAUCAUAAAGGUUAAGCACUGACCGACAACAAGAAACGAGUUCUCCUUUGUAAUCCAUGGUAAUGCCAUUUGGCCAUUUACAUAUUAACCUCACAUCCAAUCUACGUCAAUAAUAAUAAUCAUCAUAGCUUUAUGAUUCCUGUGGGACAAAACUGGUCAGAGCCCAUCGACUAGUGGUCUUCCUCAAAUUGAGAUCAGUCACACACUGUGUUGGAUAUGCACGGAUUUCAUCUCUGAACGACGAAAUAAUUGGAUCUCGAGAUGGGAUUGGUGUUCGUCGUCCGACAGAUGCAGCUUUUCUUAAACACGGAUGCGAUGUCUGUGAUUAGAUGUGAAGUAAUUGGAAGUGUCUGCACUUUGUUCUCUUCUUCAUGUCCAGGAAACGUAAGUGGCCAUCAACCCACCAUGUCUGGUCUCUUUCUCUUUGCUCUCUCUCUCUCUCUCNNNNNNNNNNNNNNNNNNNNNNNNNNNNNNNNNNNNNNNNNNNNNNNNNNNNNNNNNNNNNNNNNNNNNNNNNNNNNNNNNNNNNNNNNNNNNNNNNNNNNNNNNNNNNNNNNNNNNNNNNNNNNNNNNNNNNNNNNNNNNNNNNNNNNNNNNNNNNNNNNNNNNNNNNNNNNNNNNNNNNNNNNNNNNNNNNNNNNNNNNNNNNNNNNNNNNNNNNNNNNNNNNNGUCGUCUUCUUCUUGUCUCUCUCUCUCUCUCUCUCUCCCUCUCUCUCUCUCUCUCUCUCUCCCUCUUAAAUCUCAUGGCAUCAUAAACGGCACACAGAGGCUCCUUACACAAGACAAGAUCUCAUAAAUCAACGGGCCCCACUUCCCUAGACGUAUUGGCCGACGACAGCUCCCAUACUUCAAUACGCUCGUCUCUAAGUACCUCGACUGUACGUAGUCGACAACGCACGUCGAGCCAUUCGCUGGUCAAGCUUUUCGAGGUGAUAAGAUCAUGGCGGUAAAUCUAUAGGACGUGAGAGUGAUUGGUUCAGAUUUUUGUUCCUGUUUCUGUUCUCUUGUUCAUGCAUUCUUACUAAGAUUACUACGGUUGUAGCGAAGCUUAUAUAUGUUGAUGUAACUCAUUAUUUUGCCGCACUCUUACGUCUGCAAUGGAGCAGCCUCUCCUUGCUUCUCCUCCUAACAUCGUCCCCAACUCUCGACCUCCUCCGGCCAAGUCCUCCAACCCUAACAUUCUCGUCGGCCUCACCAUAUUCCUUGUCGUCGCGGCCUUCUCUCUGUUGGCGAACUACGAGGCCGCCAAGGGCUUUCAGAUCGUCGUCGUCAAUGCCGCCUUGCACACCCACGCAGGCCGGCGCUUCGACCUCCUGUUCGUCUCCAACGACCGCGCCACCAGACUCGUCGUCGCCUCCAGCAAUCUUGUGCAGCGCAUCCUUUACCCGGACGAUUCGUUUCCCAGGAAGCCGGUGGACCGCGUGACACUUUACAUGGCCGGCGAAGACCUCGACAGCACGGUUGCAGUCCGCGGAGGACGCAGCGCGGGCGAGUUCGUCGUCCGGAUGAGCCCGGCCGUGAUGGAGGCGGCCGACGUCAAAGCGGCCGUGGCUGAGGCGGUGCAACGGGGCAUGGCGCGGGUCUGGCUAUGGGAUGGGCGAGGCGAGGCCCCGAGAUCGCUUCUUGACGCCAUGGCAGAGUGGGUUGCCAUGUCCUCCGGCAUGGCAUCUCCUUCCAUCAGGCCCCGCAACACCAGCGUAUCACCGUUCAAUGCUUCGUGCUGGGAGGACGACGACCACGUACGCCUGGCGAGCUUCUUGAAUUACUGCGACGCGAAGCACCAUGGAUUUGUAGCGCGCUUGAACAGAGCCAUGCAGGAUGAGUGGACCGAAGACACGUUCAACGUUACAUUGGGCUCAUCAGUUCCACAAAUCUGCUCCGCCUAUCUCUCGGCAGAACAAAUAUCUAGUAAGUAAACCUAAUGCUUCUUCUGAUGUAAGAGCUAAUAAGCUUACUAGUGUGCCACCUUUUACGUAGUAUGUACAUCAUCUCAACGAAUAACGAAGCCAUUCUAUCAACAGAUACACACAUACACAGAAAUGGCUUCCCACAGCACGUACUUUCAAUUUGCAUUAGUAAGUUCACAAUGACUCAGUAAGUUACGAACGCAUCAGCAGUCCUUUCCGAUUGAAUGCCUCACUGAUAGGACGUCCAGUUUUGUGAUAGAAUUCAUUGCUGAAUGAACAAUCGGUGCGUAACUCCGUCAUGUGAUUAUUGUACUGUAUGUGUCAGUAUAGCAUCUUCUCGCGCAGUUAAUGGGUUUUGUUGAGGCGUCGUCGUCGUCUGCCCACAAAGGUUUUGUAUCCAUCUCGUAGGUUGCUCGGGAGCCAUCCAUGGCACAUCAAGAACCAUGGUGGGCCUCGGAGCUUUGGGUGCUUCCAUUUGGAUAUGUGGCAUCUCAGUUGUCUCUCUCGUCCUCGCCGGGGUGAACAUCGAGAAGGCAAGGGUACGAACUGUGUGGUCUGAGCUUGAAAGCUUGAAAGUUUGUGAGCAUAUUUUCCUUGGGAUUCUGAUAGCGAGUUUUCUCACCGGAGAAGAAUGAGUUGUAGAUCUAAUGCGGCCUUCUUGAUUCGAAGUGGGAAAGGGGCAUCUGCAAUUAUCAGCAUCAGACAAAAGCAUUUGGCAUGACUAACUCCAACUUGUCAGUGAUGUUUUUGCUGCCUUCGGUUCUUCCAAACCUUCUAGGAUUUAAUUAUUAAGAGGACAGCGAGGAUUGAGAUAUUUCAGUACUUGGAGCAUAUGAUUUGGGAUCACCAAAGGGCGACGACAGCUACUCAUUAUUGGGGUUGGCGACGAAUACAAAUACUUUUAGCAGUCCAAAGUUUCCAAUAAAUCUUUAUUGCGUACUCUAAAGAAUGAAAGUAAGACAUUUCUCAAAAAAAUGUUAGGGUGGGAGAAAAAAAAUUCAAAUUUUAUGUAAAUUUAUUUUAUAUACUUAUAUAAGGAUAUUUUACCUAAAAACUACCGUCCUAAUUAGUUUUCACCUAAUGUGUUUUUUUUAUUAAUUUAACGAAAAUAUCUCUCUACCUUCCACUCCGACCAUCGUUGUCGUGGCCUCCUCUUUUUCUACUCCUCCUUUUCUUAUAUCAUCCAUCCUUUUAUAUUGUUUUUGUUUAACAUUAUCCAUUUUUACUGCUGUAUCGUAGCAACGACUACACUUUCACGAAUGUAUAAAAGGUAAUGUCUAUUCUUUAUCACAGUAUUUCAUUCAUCAUUAUUAGCAUUCUCUUUGUUCACCUAUGCUUAGCUCGCAUUACAUAAACGAUCGAAGGAGGGGGGAGAGUAUUGUUGCUCAUCGAUGACAUUAUAUAAAGAUUGACAUGGAAGGACGAACAAUGUUUACCACUUACACGAUCAAAGAUUUCUAACAAAGAAAAAAGAUAUAUUUUUAUUAAAAUAAAUUAAAAAAAUCAUAAUUAGGAGGCAUCAUAUGAUGAAAGUUCAGUCUCUCUCUCUCUCUCUCUCUCUCUCUCUCUCUAUAUAUAUAUAUAUAUAUAUAUAUAUAUAUUUGUGUAAAAUGCCGUAAAGAAAAGAAAGACCAUGUGGUUCGCACGGACGUACAUAAGUCACCUGGGUAUGCCUUUUUGGGCAGGUAUCAGGUAUCAUAUUGCGCCCAACCCUAGAAAUCGGAGGCGGAGGAAUCGAGCCGAUCUGUUAAUUCGCACCCCGGAAAUCCACAUGAACCCACAAAAUUAACCCCCCAAGCCCAAACCCUAAUCCGCCCCCUGCUGCUUCGUCCUCCUCGCACAGCAGAUUCAGAUUUGGGUUGGGUUAGGAUCUAUUGAUUGGGUUGUAAAUGACCUCCGCGCCCCAACAGUUGGAGGCCUCUGCCUCUCGGUCUCCUCGGCCACAACAGCAACAGCAAGCACGACCGCCACCGAGCGGCACGCUGACCUUCGACGAGAUCUCCAAGCUCUUCUCGCUUCCCAUCGCCGAGGCCGCCCCCGUCCUCGGUAACCACACCCGAACCCUCCUGAAGAUCCCCCGAUUCCCGCUUCUUAUUGUGAUUUGUUGUCUAUUUAUUGCUCUUGGCGGUUGGAUUUGGGAUCUGGCGGGUGGCUUUGUUUGUUUGGAUUUCUGUGUGUGCUCUUGAGGAACUCGGUUGUGGUGCACUUUACCCUUCAUUAGAAUGCAUGGAUUUGGGCUUUGGUUUUUCCUCUUCGAUCUUCUCAUCCCUGGACUUCAUUAGAGUGAGGGUGGUUCUCAUUCUCUUUCAAGCAUACUGUUACUAUUGUGGCUCAACAUAGAACUAUGAAAUUAGCACAAAGAAAAAUUAAAUUUCACCUUGGGAACACUAAUGGAAACCAGAAAGCGCAAAAUGUACAACUUGCAGUAGACAAGGCUUUGGCAGAUUUGUUGUUCAAGCUUGGGCUGAUACUGAUACCUGAAGUCUGGAGAUAAGAAUUCGAUAACUUGCUACUGACUUGUUGUUCCAAAUGGUAUAGAGGCCACUUGUCGUUCGUUAGAUUUUUCUCUUGGUUGAAUAAAAUUGUGUUUACAUGUCAUGGCUGAGCAUUUAUUUUGGUCGGUUACUGCAUUCCAUUUAUCUGCAGUUACGUAUGUGAUUAAGCAUCAGGUUUAAUUUAAUAAAUAUGAAAAGCUUGAAUAUAGAAGUUAAAAGGAAUCAUAUGGAUUGGACAACAUAGAGUGAUAGAGAUUGCGUAGGCAUGGAAUUACGAAUCAGGAGUGUAUAUUUUCACGAGGAUUGAACAUUUACCAUAUUCUACAAUUUCUAGAAUUCAGUGUACUAUUUGAUGGGGAAAAGCUGUGUAGCAUGAAAGCGGCAAGAUGGUAUGAUGAAGGAACAUCAUUCAGGACUUGAUUAAUCAGUUCUGAUAUUUAUGUGAAGGAUAGAAAGCUUAUUAGCAAGCAGCUUGCUGUUUCCUUAUAAUUUAAACUGGGAAGCAAGAAAUCGGAUGUAGCAACAUUCAUUUAGGCAAGCAGUUGUGAUGUACAUUACAGAUCAAUCUUUGACAAUAAUAGCAAAGUUGCAAUCACUAAACUGGAAGAAAUUAGAUGAAGGAAAUCUACUGCAGGGUAGGUAGGACUAUAAACACAUCAAUAACAGAAAUAUUAAACAAUAAAAGCAGCAGCAGCAGCAGCGAUGAAGAAUAUACAAAGAAAUAAGAUAAUUCAUGGAGUGACAAGAGAGAAAUUGGAUCACCACUUUUCUUAAAAGAUAAGUCACAUACAUAGAGCCAUGGUCCACUCCAUUAUUUUGGGAAUUAAUAGCUAUAGCCUAAUACAUAGAGUCAUUAACUACUCCAUCCAAAAGUAUGUCACAUAGAGCCAUCAGCUACUUCAUUCUUUAGAUCUCAUAACUGGUCCAAUAUAAAUCCUUCUAAGUUCAACAUUUUAAGGCUUUCUAUUUUACUUUCUGUUACAUUUUUUAUAUUUAAAAUCAGGCUUCAAAUGUAAUUAUACAAUUUCCAUCUGACAGUUGCGAAUGCUGCUUUAUAGGAGUCUGUACAAGUGUCUUGAAGAAGAUAUGUCGCGACUAUGGCAUUGUAAGGUGGCCAUAUCGAAAGGUAGGUUGCUGAUUUAAGUUUUCUCAUUAGUUUCGUGGUGGUUAUCUCAAGAAAUGUUUCAUUAUCAAUGGAAUACAUAAACUCUUCUCAUCCAUCUUUUUGGCAUAUACAGAAACUGAUCAAUGAAAAAAAAAAGUUGAUUUUGAAAUUGUGUAAUAGCAAUGUAACUGUUGCAUAUAAAGCUUUCUAAAAACACAAAAUUUUUUUUCUUAAGUUCAUUUCGUGAGAUGUUCUUUAUUUGUUCCAUCCAGUUGAACGUAACCUUUUAGAGAUUUAUAAUCUUUUAGUAGCAGUUUGGUGUCUGUUAUAAUUUUCAUAGAGUUCAAUGGCAAAUAUGGUCAUAAGCCUUUCUUUUCUUUUCCAUUUAUUUCCCUCUACAUCUUUCUUUCUUUUUCUCCUUGACCUCUAUAUCCGCUAAGACUAUCCAUGUUCUGCGGUGACUGUGCUUUCUUUUUUUCCCUUUUCUGCAGUAGAUGAAGAUUUUCUGUUAGAUUGUUGAAUUAAAGAGCCUUGCACAAUUUCUCAGAUGUUCAUUCCAAACAAAGUUGUUAUAUUUUGCAAUGGUUUUUACAAUUUUAUUACAAUGAGCUGGAAUGAUGCAUGCCAAUUUUAUUACAUGACUUUAUAUCAUGUAGAAAAAUCACAUUACAAAAUCUAAAAUUCUUUCAUGUCCUUCAGAUGUUACAUUCUCUUUAAUUCACAACAGAUAAGUGCUCGAUCCAUCUCCAGUUACAAUGGAAAUGAUGGUUGCUUUUUAUCAACUUAUCUAGUCAAACUGACAGUACCUAUGUGAUUGUAUUGUUUUGGAAACUGUUCCACCUUGCGUUUUACAUUUUAACAUCUGUGCUGAAUGAUCUUUUGCUAACAUAAUUAUCUAUCAUUUUGGUUAUCAUAUUUGGUAUUUAUUUAUAAAGCAUUCUAGAAGAAAUAAUUAGGAAUUUGGUCUUGUUUUUAGCAACUUUGUUGUGUUGUUCUGUUCUUCGUAGAAAUGUAUCUUCAAUUGUGAAAAUUAAAAUGGUCAUGUUGUUUUAGUAUCUUGCUGGGAAGACUGUAGAAGAUAUUAGAAGAGAUAUUGCUAAGGAGAGAAGUAAGGAGCUAGCUGAUUUAUCGAAGACUAACCAAAAGAAUGAUGUGUCCAAUGUGAUGUCAUCGCCAGUUGGUUCCUUAUCAGCUUUGUGAGUAUACUUACUUUUCUUGUUCAGUGAAAAGUAUAAUGCAUCUCCAUCCAUAUCUUUGUCUUCUAAUUUAUCAUGCUUUAUUAGGUAUGGCUUUUUUUUAGUGUAAACUUCAUCAAAUAUUAUCUUAAACACAAUCUUGUCCAUGUAAAUGUCUUGCCAUGAGUAUUUAUUUCAACUUCACAGGCAGUUGUUCUGCAGGAUUCUUACUCGAUGCAUGCUUAGGAAGGCAUGAGUUCUCAACUAAUCUGCAGCUAGUAUUUGCUACUUGAUAGAAUUACUUGGAGAAAACAUUUAACCCGUGUGUAUGAAUGUUAUGCUUGUAGGCUAUUCUUCAAAUUGUUGCAAAAAAUGUGCCCUCUUGGAUGAGUUUGCAAGGAAAAUAUGCCAAAUGAUCAUCCUAUAACUAUGUGAACAGUUUUAUCCAUUUUGACUUCGGGGUGAUAGUGAAUCAAGUCUUUAUAAAAAUGCUAAUCGCCAAAUUGAUAGGACAAAGUUUUGGCUCUGUUAUUGUGACUCACCUAUUGCUGGAACUUAUCUUAUUUUAUCAAUAAUCACAUUUCUCGUCUAAUGAUCUUAUUUUGUCAAUUUUAGUCUUAGCAGUUUUAAGUUAUCGCAAGGAGCACGUAGGACAUUUGACUGGUUAAAAUUAAAAUUGAUGCCAUCUCUUUCAUUAUAUUGCUUAUUGCAUGGCCUGAACUUUAUAUGAAACUCUUGUGACCAAGUUUCUGCUAAUUAUUGUCUCUAGAUGCAUUGAGGAAACCGAUUGACCUCUGAUCCUUACAAACAAAUAUGGCAAUUUUGUCUUCAGUUAAUAAUCAUGGAAGUAUUUACUAGCAACUACAGAAAAAAAUAAUGUCAUCUUGUAUCUUUGUAGAUUACAAUGUUUACUACUUGGGGUGUUUGGAGUGCCUAUUUAGAUUUUCCAUGCCUUUAAUGUUUGCUAUUUAUUUAGCUUGUAUCUAGUUAGAAAUGUUUGUAUGCAAUAGGAUGUGGCCUUAAUUUUUCAUGCCCUUAAUUUUUUUUUUUUUUUUUUUUUCCGUACGAGUAUCAUCAAAACCUAACUAAAUUGUAACCAGUAACCUGCAACACUAGCUUUAGCGUAUAACACCCAGGUCAUGGUUUUCAGGUCACCAUGACUAAUUAGAAAAUCAUAUUUUAGUAUGUGCAUAAGGAAUUUUGUUAUAAAUACAGUACUUAUUCCUUGCGGAAUGAUACAGAAAUAAUGUGAAUCAUCCUAUUCUGUGAAAAGAGGGGCUCGAUGACCUAAGCUGAACUGCUUUGAUGUAGAGAAUUAUUACUGGAAGAAGAAUAUUCUUUUUCUAUUAUUUUUUGAACUGAAUAGAUCUAUCUUUCUGCAAUAGGAUAUAACUCUCAAUUUUCUUGUCUUUUAUUUGUUCUUUUUUUUUUUUUGUAAACAGAUAUUUCUGCUGCUAUUCUAGAUGCACCACGAUUUGAUGAUCACUAAUGAAACUUGAAUUCAUAUACAAGAUAAUGUUUGUUGGGUUGAACAUGUCUCAUGUUUUUGCAAUAUUGGAGGCAUUAUGAAGCAUGAAUUCAUAUACUAAGAUAAUAUUUCUAGAGUCGAACAUGUCUCAUGCUUUUGCCAUAUUUGGAGGCGGCAUGUUGGAGGUACACACAACUUGGCGAGGAGCCCCUACUUGUGCUCCAGACCUUAAAAAACCAAGAAUGUCAGCUAUAUUUCAAUAAAAAAGUGAACCAACGUUAUUUCUAGAGGGAUUUCUGAGGUCUGAAAAGCACGCAGAGAAGGCAAACAUAUUAACACAUCAGCUUUCUCCUAUAUGGAAAAUUUGUUGAAUCUGUGUUCAUCAUUAACUUAUAUUAAUGACACUACAAGAAGCAGAAAAAUUAGCCGUCAUCUGUGCAGUUCAAACAUGGUCUUCUUUAGUUAUUUGAUAGAUAAUUUGCACUUUAUUUGUGAAUACAUACGUCAGUGGUUUGUCGAUGCUGGACGUCAUAGUGUAGGUUCUUAUGCAAGUAACAAUUUAAUUCUUUGCUUGCUCCUAUAAGCCUUGCCUAAUGCAAUUUUUUUGAAUUUUGAAACAGAACACCGAACCCUGCUCAAGAAUCUUCCAAAAUGCAGAGAGUUUCCAUGCCAGGGCAUGUUUCGCAACUGCAAGGAAGUAGGUUUACUCAAAACGGAUGGCCAAAUGUGCUCCAUCAAAACCAAUCAAAAAACAUCCCUACGUUCAUGGACGAUUUCAAAUAUGGUUUUCCAGAAAAUGGUCUAUCGUCAACUUCAUUCAAAUGGUGGGGAAUCAGCAGGCUAGAAGAAACCGAAAGGACCGUGCCAGGAGAAGGAGAAACUACGACCGAGAAGGAUGACAAUCAAGAGGUACAGGACUCAUCAAAUGAAGGCGAAGAACCUGAUUCUGGUGCAGAGGACAAUGUUAUCGUAACCAAGCCAUCUGCUUUGCUGUGCUCUCUGAGAAGAAAAUCUGUUGAAUAUGGGCGCGAGUCACUCAAGAGAGGGAUUUCGGUUGCCGGAAUACCCAACAAACUCACGAAGAGGCAGAAGCUAACAUUAUCCCAAGUAUUUGGGUCAUCUUUACCAGAGGAAUGGAAGGAAAACUUCUCGUGAUCCUUCUUCACUGAGUAAUUUAAUUUCCAUGACCAAAUGACAGGAGUCUGUUCUCGACUAGGCAUCGGAAAGACGAUACUUUAUUAUCAAACUCGAUCGUUUUCUAAUCCUAACUGCAGUUUCCUUGUCACAACCUCGAGUGUUUUUUGCCUGUCAUCUUCUUGUACAUCCUAGUUUGUCUUCCUUCUUGGUGAGAAGGUUAUCGCUUCAUCUAUCUUCAGCUUCAUGGAAUGGCAAUGAGAAAAUCUGAAAUAAGAUAAUAUUGCAUGUCGAAUUAAAAUCCUUUGCUCAAAUCUGCUGCUUGUAGCUGAGCAUUAUAAUUAUAACUUAAUUGGUGUGCUUAUGAUACAUAUUCAUGAUCGAGAAAUAUUUUACCGAAGGGCAUCAGAUAAAAGUUAAUGCAAACUACAUAUUCUAGUGUUUUGUACAUCUCGGUCCUCUCAGAUCACAUGCGAACUGUCGCAUUCCAACACAGCCCGAACGAGCUCGUUCCACAGUGAGACUCGCACGCUUCUUGAUGGUGAUCCAGCUCAGGAUUGCUUGGCCUGAAGCGAAGCUGUCGGUGCCCGUGUUCUGUACGUGCCACCCAUUCCGUCCUUCGAAUUCAUGUAGGCAACAGUGCGAAGCUUGUCUUCAGGUGGAUCAUACUAGAUUUAUAGUACUGAAUCAUGAGAUAAAUUCCUAUGUUUCGCUCCUCAUGAUGAGUAGGAUUUCAAGUGCAGGAGCGCUCGAAGGUGAUCUUUUUUUUUUUGUUUGUUUACUUGGAUGAUAAAGACUCGAGCUUAGCUUACUGGGCACGAAUGAAUGAAUGGAUUAUUUAGUCGAAUAGGCAGCUUUGCAUCACGCUUUUGUCGAGUCACUUAGUAAAACCUUGUGCAGUGUAUGUCCCCAUCUUUCUUCCACGUGAAAGCUGCAACCCUUGCAGACGAACUCUUUGAAUCCCACAUGACAUCCAUACCUCCGGUAGAAAACUUCUAAAUGCAUGCAGAGUUCGAUUGUGGAAGAAAUGCUGCAAGAUGUGCUACAUUUAUCCUGGAAUCAAUUAAAGGUUUCUCUAAUAGCAAGACAACAACAAAUUCUCACUACAACCAACCAGAAUCAGAUCCAUCAUAACAAUGCAGAAAGCCACUCUUCGGUGUUGUCUUCUUGGUUGGGGUUCAGGCAUAACCGCAGCUCCCAUAACCUGCAAAAGGUAAGAGAGAACAAAUGUGUGUGAGAUCUACAUGGGUGUCGUUCGAAUGGGGCACAUGAUCGGAGAUCUCACUUGGGUCGGUGGCGACCACGAGGCCGGAGUUCUUGAAGAAGCAGUUCCACGGGUUCCUUCCUCUGGACUGGUAGUAGAGGUUCAUGGCGAUGGAAGCGUGGGACAUGAGGUUGUCCGGGUAGAAGCACGUGCGGCCCCUCUGCAGCACGCUACAGUCCACCUGAGAGCAGGCGUAGUUGAUGUUUCCCAGAAGAGUUGCUUCGUCCGACGAAGGUUUCGCUACGCACCAAGUUUUCUGCAACAAAGCAACGACAACGUCUGCAUCGACUUCCAUGACAUGGGGUGGAAUGGACAAGACGAGCACAGUUCGGGAAGCAAAAUGCCGAACAACUACAGUUAGUGAGGCGCAUAAUUAGGUCCGUCGGUGUUACCUGCCCCUGCACCGACUGCAUUCCCCCUGUCAUCACAAGGUUUAGAGCAGAGAUCAGAAGAAGAUGGCGACAAACAGCGGCUAAGGGAUCAAGCAAGUCACGAGCUAACCUGUGGCGAAGCAGAUCAGGAGCAGCACAAAAGAGAGGAAGACGAAGGAGGGAGUUCUCGCGGCUCCUCUUGCCAUUUCUCUACCCCUUCUGUUUGCUGGCCGUAGGAGGAGGGAGGAGAUCGAACCUGGUCGUCUUCUUCAGCGUGGAAGCGAGACCGAGAGCGAGCUGUCGAUGAUGGGGGAUAAGAAAGCAAGCUCCCUGACCGGGCCCGGAGUGGGACCCGGUCAGAAACAUGUUAUUAGAGACCUACGAGUCGCGCAUACUCCACGUGGCCUACGUGUCGGUGGCCGCGCUGGUUUGGAUUCUCGGGCGAGCCCGACAAGAUUGCGAAAAGUGGGCCCCAGAGAAACGCCUCGUGACACGAUUUGGGUCCCGAUUCCGUCGCAUCUCCGAUGGCACCUCAGCUUAACGGACCUUUUCGCCUCUCUUCCCUCCGGCGAGCCACAGUGCAACCAAAAAGGAGGGACCGACUCUACUUUUUGCCCUUUGGGUCUCCUCAACGCUGUGAAGAGAACGAUGCUUCUUGUUCUGCGUACAUCACUGCUUUUCCAGCAUUCAUCUCUUCACAUGCCAUCACGUUGCCCUUCCACGGACCGUCCCGUGUUUCCUAGCCUUUGUCACGGUUCAUCCCCAGACAUUUCUGUGUGCCAUGUGAAUGUUCUCUGGUGCAGCAAAUUGCUGCAUUGGCUACUGAUAUCAUGUGCAGACAUUGCAAUCCUGAUAUCAUGGAAUCCACUGCCAAUCUAUACCUUGGUUCAUCAAUACGUACCCAAAUUUGUUGAACUGUCCCACAUGAGCAUGAAGAACACGAAAAUAAAUUAAUACACUUUUAAGAUUGCCAAAUCCACUUGCAUUUGAUUACAUCAUUAGUUCAAUGAACCAGUCUGAUAUACGAUUCUAUAGAAACGCAGAUGUCCGAAUAGUACAACAGAAAGUUUGAUCAUCAUGAGCAACCAUAUAGGUAGGUAAUUUCUUCAGAAGAACGAGGAACCAACUUAGGCGGAAACCUAAGACCCAAAUCUUUCUCUGUCGUGCGGAGAAGAAUAAUCUACACCGGGACCAACUGGAAUUAUCCCAAACGGAUUGAUAGAAGGAUGGCUUCCGUAGUAGUGCUUCUUUAUGUGUGCCAUAUUCACCGUGCUGCUCAUGCCUGGAAUUUGGUAUAUGUCUUUGGUGUAAUUGAACAAAUUUGGAUAUUCACGCAAUUGUUUUUUGUUGCACUUGAAAUGAACAGUAUAGACCUGUGGAAAUCACAUAUAGUUCAGUGAUCGAGUGGGCAUCCGAAAUAACAUACUAUAGUCUAAUGGCCUAAUUUGAUGAUGCUUUUUAAAAGUACAGUCGAUAGGUUGAAAACCAGAAAUCUAUCGAUACCAGUCAUAAACUAGUUUACAGAUACGAGAAACACGGAAGCAUAGUCAAUAUUUAUCCAGAUUCCAAUGCAAAUAAUAAAGCACCUUAGUAGACAUUUAAGACAUCAGAUUCAACAGUAUCUUAAUAAAAACAAAAGUGUCUUCCCCUGUGAUUAGAGCAACCUAUUGAAUCAGAACAUAAAUGUUUUGUUGAGGGUGUGCUUACAAUUCAAUCUAACUAUAAUUGGGGAAGAGAUGGCACUAGCCAUUCCACCAAAAGUUACCAGAUGAAGUUUCAUCUGUAGUUUCAAUGGUGUGAAAUUCAGAUGUGCCACUAAAGGUCUCACAUUGUCUUGUUUUUUAAUUUUUAUUGGUUUCAUGGCAAACAUAGCAAAGCUCCUUCCACCCUUCCUUGGUCCCAGAUAUCUUUGAACCCUUAGAUUUCCAUUUUGUCUCUUGUUAUGAGCCUAAAAGAUUUUCCUUUUUCGAGAUGGGUAUGCAAAUCACAUUGAUUAACACUGGGCCAAACAGAAUGGUUGUGGACAGGCAUUUACAAGAGCUCAGAUAGAUGUCUGUUCUGCUCAUAACUUUCUGAUAGAUGGAACAUUAGCAUACAAACAUGAUGAAUCAGACUAACAUUCUUUUGGUUUCUAAAGGUUAAGCAGAAUUAGUUGUAGUCCAGCUCAUUAAGGCCACAGGCCGCUAAGGUUCAUCCAUAUGUAUGGCCUUUGCCAAUAAGCUAAAUUCAAAUUUCCAAUUAGAAAAAGGAAUAUCAUUUUUUCCACCCAAAUGAGAAACAGCCACCUCCAUGGGUUAAUACUUUGAAGCCAGUGCAGAUAUUAUGGUUAAAACAAAUCAAACAGAUUUAGUCCUGUCUUCCUCACUGGUCAGUGUCAAGGUCACAUGGUUACAUCUUACUCCGGCUAAAAUUAAGUUUCUGACUAGUUAUAUCAUCUUAAAACUUGCUUUUGUCAAAUGCAUAGGACACUGCCUCAAAAUAUUCUCUUAAACAAGUCUUGCAAAACAAUCUGUGCACUGUACAAACAUCAAAAUAGGAACAAUCAGAUGCCUAAAGCAAUCAUUUGCUCACACAAAAAUCUUAUUUUGCAUAUUGAAUUCCAUAAAUUAUACACAAUUGAUUGUAUAUUCUAACAAAAAUAAACCGGAAAAAAGACAAAGCAUCAGCUCACUUUUCAUGAUGUUAGGCUGUGUUAAAUUUUGAGGUACAUACCUCAUCGAACCUGAUGAGAGUGACAAACAAGCGAACGUCAGCUUCAGUUAGCGUAUUCCCACAAAUAUAUCGUUGCUUGCUGAGAGUCUCUUCACAUUUGUCCAAAGCAUCAAAUAAUUUUUCAACGGCCUAGACAACCAGAAAGUAGUGAAAAGGCUGUUUUCAUGAUUUAAAGAUUGAUAGUCAUAUAAUCCACUUCAAGUGAAGGAAAAAAAAAAAUCAGUUGUAGUAGAUAGUUACCUCGUCAUAAGGACCUUGUUUCUUGGCAAAGCCACAUUUGUAUACCCCAUUAUUUAUCGUGUCAUAUAUCCAUUCGUUGACCUCAUCUAUCAAAGCUUGCAUAUGAGAUGGAUAUAAAUCCAGGUCUGCAUUCUCAGCUAUAUCGUUAAACUCGGUGUUGAACAUACGGAUUAUUUCUGCACUCUCAUUGCUCACAAUUGUUUUAAGUUUUUUAUCCCACAGAACCUGCCAAAUAAGAUAAAGCGAAAGGAAGGUCACUUGUUGAGUACACUGAAAGAAAAAAAAAAAAAGUAUAGUUCAAUAGACAGAAUACAUACAGGCACCGUAUAUUUCCCCAUAUAGUUUGAGCUAGCCAGCUCAUAUAAUUCCCUAAUACUUUUGGCUCCAUUCAAGGGAUCAGGUUCAGCUCCAGGUUCUUCUGUACUAGAAGGGAAAACCCAUCCAAAAUGUUCAUCGCUCUCCUUUGUCCUUUCCCAUAUUGGUUUGACAGCCUAUCAGAUGCAAUUGCUCAAAUGUUAUUAUAUAUUUUCCUAAGAUAAACAUUCCUCGGAUAUAGAGAGUCACCGUGUAACUGAUGGCCUUGUCAAGUCCUUUGAGCUUCACAAAUGAAAGACAUCUUGAUGCCCAAGGACAUGCAUAUGAUAUAUACAAGUGAUACCUUCCAGAUUCUGCAGGAAAUUGAGAAGUCUUGUCUUUUGAAAUAAAAUUGCGGAAAGUUGAUGGUGUGCGAUUGAAUGCACCAGAUUCUGUCAUCUCAUCUAAUGCUGAUCGAGCCAUCUUAAGAAUGUAAUGAAAGACAUAAUAUGGUCAAACAAGAAGUGGAAGAAUGUCGAAGAAUAAAAACCUCAUCCAGUAUACAAAAGUGUAACGAAAGUGAGAUGAGAGAAAAUAUUGACAUGUACAUCAAUCAGAAGUUGAUAGGAAAGCAUUAUAGGAUUUGUGAAGAGAAAAUAUUGACAUGUACAUUAUCCAGGAGUUACGGGUGCUGUCAAACCUUGAUAUAAAUAAAAAACAUAGCCCUAACUUUCACAAGGUUGCUUCGUAUUAGUAACUUACAUCCCAGCCAGCAAAACCCAACUAACACAGAAUGUGGUGUGUCAGGAUGCCUUCAGAAUGACAAUACACACUAUCUUAAUGAGACAGUUGCAAGAUGCUGAGAUGAGGCCCAGCACUCAAAACAUUCUGAUGAAUAAGAAGCAAAUAAUAGAGGUUCACAUUACAAUCUACUGCAUCUAUAUUUCAAGAGUUCUAUUACAAUUUUCAGGAGAUGCUUGAAAUUUAGUCUUAUUUAGUAGCUUUCUAUUGUUAAGUUGUAAAAAAAUUGAGUUAACUUUUAGAUGGCUUUUGGGUGGUAAAGUCAUGUCUGGACAUAAGACAACCCAAGUUAGAUAUGAAUUUGAAACACUAGAAAACAAAAAGACCUAUUUUUAUUAGUCGACACAUUUUGGUUAUGUAUACUUCUCGCACUUGAUCCCUGUUUAUUCCAAUUAUUGUAUAGUGUUGAAAAACAGGGUUCCAUACUAUAGACUUCCACCAAAUGGCACGGCACGUCAAAACACAACCAGAACAUAAGACACUGGGUCUGUAUCACAUAACCUUUCUCUAGCACUUGCAUUUACAUGUGGGAGAACAACCGCAAGGAUUUUAACUAUGAAAAGACCUCCCACAUAGCAAUGUCAACAACUCAAACUCAUAAUAUCCAAUGAAUUAAAAGCAAAACCCCUCGAAAGUAUAUUUUCUGCUUCAAGUUAGAUUGAUUAUAUGUUAUUACUUUAUCCAUCACAAUUAGGCAUAUAAACCUUAAUAGUAAUGAAUAUCCAUAGUGGAAGCAAAAUACAGAGAUGCUGCAGCAUUGUGCUGCUUCUACAAUUGGAAUUUUGAAAGAUGCCUCAGUGAUAGUAGCAAUACUCAAUAGAUGCUAGGCGUAAGGAAAGAAUUCUAAACCAUUUUAAGGCAUGAAAUCUAACUCAGUUUUUAGGGGUCUUUGUUCCCGUUCUAUGUUUGCAUAUAAAACAUAGAAUAAUUGCACUACUGAAAGUAAAUUUCUUGUUUGUAAUCUUUCCUUGAGCCAAUUGGAAAUUGUGAUAAGGAACGAUUUUACAUGAUGAUUGGUCUUGAUCAAAUGGAUCAGAGCACAUCAGAAAUUUAGUUGUUUAGUCUCGUUUUCUUGAACCCUCCCCUUCGUGUUCCAGCCUUUGCCCUUUUAAAACGAGCUUGUUCAAAUGAUCCCACUUGAAAAUCCUUUUACUCGAAUCCAUCGGCUAUUUGCUCAUCAUCUCCUUCUUCCACGAAUUCCAAAAUCAAGAGGACCCGUAUCACUCUAUACGAGUAAUCAACAUGGGCCAUCUGCCACAACGACUACAUAUGCCUCGACAAUUACCCUAAAUACCAACUUUCUAUACGAAUAAUAUGAAGGUCAUCUACAAAUCAAGAUCCAUAGAAGAUGAGAAAACAGUAACUUACACAUGUUAGUUCCAAUGGGAGAUUAGUAAGCAAGUAACGCUAGUAAAUUGGCAGGACGCAAUCGCUCAUACAAGCGGGAAAGAAGGGAUCUAAAUCGCACCUUGGAGGAGAAGGAUCGGGUGACGAUGAAGCGAGAACAGGACGAGAUCAUGCAAAGCCCCCCGACGCUGUCAUAAAUCUGUGGAACGGGAAAGUAGAAGAAACCUAAUCUUUCCACUGAUGGAGCGAGGGCGGCGACCGGGAUUGGUGCGUGACGUGGCGGUUGCCCAGCUCCAUCGCCGCCAGGUUGACUACCGGCGGUACGUGAUUCAACUGCUGCACGGCACGUCAUGGCAUAGCAUAGCGGAUCCAAAUCCUCUCCAAUUCUUACCCGUUAUGAACCCUCCGCUAUCGUCUAUAUCCGUGCUCAGCUGGUCACUUCCGCUGUCUAGGUUGAGGCAGGGAACAGUUUUAUCAGCCAUCAGCCAUCCGUCAAUCGUCAUCUUAUCGUUAAGUGCUGCGAACCGUGAUCCCUGGUCGCGACAGGUAAGCCUCAUCCCGUCAGACACAAAACCCAGGGCUACUUCAAACGCGACAUAAGUCACCGCUUCAAUCGCAACCGUUGAUGUGCCCGGCAAGUGGUGCGUGGUAAGGUCCGUCGGCUUCUCUGUGUGAGCCGCGACUUAGGUUUGUCAGAAAGGUCCUGUUUUGACUCGUGCCGGUGAGUUCUCCUUUGAUUGCGUUUAGCCGCAGAUGGGAGAGGCGUUCCGAAUCCCCCGCUAUCCUCUCCGCCUUCCAGCCGUCAAUCGGGUGGCUCAUGGAAGCUCCCUCUUAUGCAGAAAUGUCAUCUGCGUGGAGGUCUUGAAUUGGAUGCCUGUAUCUUUUUGUUUAUCUCACAAAACUAAGCUAUACAAACCACUGAGCUCUUGAGAACGUCCAAAAAAAAGAAAUUGAUCUUUUUACAGCUUGACAGUUCCUCCCAAAAAGAAAAGCUUCCUCAUCCAUAUUGAAAGUCGAUUCAGAUGUUGAUUGAUUUAUAAGAGUUAUUAAUUUGAGUUUGAGCAUUUUUAACUGUGCACGUUGUAGAUGGAUGUAUCAAAGUUUUGUACACGGAUGUAUAAACUUUGAUAGUGUUCAUUCACACAGUGUUUGAGGGAUACUGUGGGGAAAAUAAUAUCUCAACAUCUAAAUUGGAGAUAUAGUCAACAUAAAAUAAAAGAAAGAUAAAAUCGAUCGGAUUGCUACUCUGCCAAGAUGACGUUUCCACCAUUUUUAUUGGACCAGAGCAAGACCACAUCAUCUAAUUCAAGAUUUCUAGUUGCAUCUGGAAGCUUCUUCGCCCUUUGGCAGCGAGAACAGAUGUGUGGUAGCAAACCUCGGAGACACUGCGACCACCGAAAUCGACACAAGAUCCAACGAGUAUCUCACUCUAAGUUGUGGAUGAUGGACUGCCAGACGCUGGAACUCAUCCGCCACCUGAAACUUCAGUAGCCAAUCAAAACCAAGAUAAAGAUUUCCAUGGAUAAGGACUCCCAUCCCCUCUUCUGCUAUUAAACCCCUGCAGCCAUCACCUCUCACAGCAGGCACUCCUCCAAGGCUUUUCCUUCUACUUCACCACCCUCUCCCUGAUCCAACCAUGGCUGCCACAAUGGCCCUCUCCUCCCCCUCCCUCGCUGGUAAGGCCGUCAAGCUCGCUCCCUCGGCCUCCGACAUCCUCGGCGAAGGCCGCAUCACCAUGCGCAAGAGUGCCGCCAGGUCCAAGCCCGUCUCCUCCGGCAGCCCCUGGUACGGCCCCGACCGCGUCAAGUACCUCGGCCCCUUCUCCGGCGAGCCCCCCUCCUACCUGACCGGUGAGUUCCCUGGCGACUACGGCUGGGACACCGCCGGCCUCUCCGCCGACCCCGAGACCUUCGCCAAGAACCGGGAGCUGGAGGUCAUCCACUGCCGCUGGGCCAUGCUCGGCGCCCUCGGCUGCGUCUUCCCCGAGCUCCUCGCCCGCAACGGCGUCAAGUUCGGCGAGGCCGUCUGGUUCAAGGCCGGCGCGCAGAUCUUUAGCGAGGGCGGCUUGGACUACCUCGGCAACCCCAGCCUGAUCCACGCCCAGAGCAUCCUCGCCAUCUGGGCCUGCCAGGUCAUUCUGAUGGGCGCCGUCGAGGGCUACCGUAUCGCCGGUGGCCCGCUCGGCGAGGUGACCGACCCCCUCUACCCCGGCGGCAGCUUCGACCCCCUCGGCCUCGCCGACGACCCGGAGGCGUUCGCAGAGCUCAAGGUGAAGGAGAUCAAGAACGGAAGGCUGGCCAUGUUCUCCAUGUUCGGGUUCUUCGUGCAGGCCAUCGUCACAGGGAAGGGGCCGCUGGAGAACCUGGCGGACCACCUGGCGGAUCCGGUGAACAACAACGCUUGGGCCUACGCCACCAACUUUGUCCCCGGGAAGUGAGAGGACAUGCAUGCUUCAG
This 60857-nucleotide long non-coding RNA is filed under the name Musa acuminata (dwarf banana). Its description in RNAcentral is "long non-coding RNA (MACU_LNC006051)". Lineage: Eukaryota; Viridiplantae; Streptophyta; Magnoliopsida; Zingiberales; Musaceae. The record is from RNAcentral.